RNAcentral lists this long non-coding RNA (55575 nucleotides) under Triticum aestivum (bread wheat). RNAcentral's name for it is "long non-coding RNA (TAES_LNC004982)". Lineage: Eukaryota; Viridiplantae; Streptophyta; Magnoliopsida; Poales; Poaceae. The record is from RNAcentral.
UGUUUUUUUUGUAGUGAUGGGAGAAGUCUUGCUAUUAGUAGUCAUGUGAAUUUGGUAUUUGUUCGAUAUUUUGAUGAGAUGUAUGUUGUCUCUCCUCUAGUGGUGUUAUGUGAACGUCGACUACAUAACACUUCACCAUUAUUUGGGCCUAGAGGAAGGCAUUGGGAAGUAAUAAGUAGAUGAUGGGUUGCUAGAGUGACAGAAGCUUAAACCCUAGUUUAUGCGUUGCUUCGUAAGGGGAUGAUUUGAAUCCAUAUGUUUCAUGCUAUGGUUAGGUUUCCUUAAUACUUUUGUUAUAGUUGCGGAUGCUUGUAGUAGAGGUUAAUCAUAAGUGGGAUGCUUUUCCAAGUAAGGACAGUACCCAAGCACCAUUCCACCCACAUACCAAAUUAUCAAAGUACCGAACGUGAAUCAUAUGAACGUGAUGAAAACUAGUUUGACGAUAUUCCCAUGUGUCCUCGAGAGCGCUUCUCUAUAUAAGAGAGUUUGUCCAGGCUUGUCCUUUGCUACAAAAAGGAUUGGGCCACCUUGCUGCACUUUAUUUACUUUUGUUACUUGUUGCUUGCUACAAAUUAUCCUAUCACAAAACUAUCUGUUACCACUUAUUUCAAUACUUGCAGAGAAUACCUUGCUGGAAACCGCUUAUCAUUUCCUUCUUCUCCUCGUUGGGUUCGACAGUAUUACUUAUCGAAAGGACUACGAUAGAUCCCCUAUACUUGUGGGUCAUCAAGACUCUUUUCUGACGCCAUUGCUGGGGAGUGAAGUGCCUUUGGUAGGUGGAAUUUGGUAAGGAAAAAUUUAUAUGGUGUGCUGAAAUUUAUUGUCACUUGUUACUAUGGAAAGUAAUCCUCUAAGGGGCUUGUUCGGGGGUAUCUUCACCCCGACCAGUAGAGCAAAGAGUUGCUCCUCAACCUACUGAACCUACUGAAAAUGAAAAUGUCUGCUUUGAAAUUCCUUCGGGUAUGAUAGAAAAACUGCUAGCUAAUCCUUUUGCAGGAGAUGGAACAAAGCACCCUGAUGAGCACCUAAUAUAUGUGGAUGAAGUUUGUGGAUUAUUUAAGCUUGAAGGUGUACCCGGAGAUGUUGUUAAGAAGAAGGUCUUCCCUUUAUCUUUGAAGGAAGAUGCAUUGACAUGGUAUAGGCUAUGUGAUGAUACGGGGUCAUGGAACUACAAACGAUUGAAAUUGGAAUUUCAUCAGAAGUUUUAUCCUAUGCAUCUUGUUCAUCAUGAUCGCAAUUAUAUAUAUAAUUUUUGGCCUCAUGAAGGAGAAAGCAUCGCUCAAGCUUGGGGGAGGCUUAAAUCAAUGUUAUAUUCAUGCCCCAAUCAUGAGCUCUCAAGAGAAAUGAUUAUUCAAAAUUUAUAUACUCGGCUUUUUGAUAACAAUCGCACCAUGCUCGAUACUUCUUGUGUUGGCUCUUUUAUGACGAAGACUAUUGAAUUCAAAUGGGAUUUAUUGGAAAGAAUUAAAUGCAACUCUGAAGAUUAGGACCUCGACAAAGGUAAGGAGUCAGGUAUGACACCUAAGUUUGAUUGUGUUAAAUCUUUUAUGGAUACCGAUGUUUUCCGUAAAUUUAGCACUAAAUAUGGACUUGACUCUGAAAUAGUAGCUUCUUUCUGUGAAUCUUUUGCUACUCAUGUUGAUCUCUCUAGGGAGAAGUGGUUUAAAUAUCACCCUUCCAUACAAGUAAAAGUAGCUGCACCAAUUAAAAUUGAAGAAAAGACUAUCACUUAUAAUGAUCCUGUUGUUCCUACUGCUUAUGUUGAGAAACCACCUUUUCCUAUUAGGAUAAAGGAUCAUGCUAAAGCUUCAACUGUGGAUCGUAAAAGAAAUAUUAAAACUUAUACACCUCCUGAGAAAAUUAAAGUUGAACCUGAUAUUGCUAUUGUUAAAGAUCUCUUGUCUAAUAAAAUUGAUGGGCAUGUUAUUCAUUUCCUUGAUGAGACUGCUAGAUUUGCUAAACCCUGUGCAAAAGAUAAAAACAAACAUGUGGUAGGCAUGUCUGUUAUUUAUGUUAAAAUAGGAGAUCAUUGUUAUCAUGGCUUAUGUGAUAUGGGUGCUAGUGCUAGUGCAAUACCUUACGACUUAUACAAAGAAAAUAUGCAUGAUAUUGCACCUGCUGAGAUAGAAGAUAUUGAUGUCACAAUUAAACUUGCCAAUAAAGAUACUAUUUCACCAAUGGGAAUUGUUAGAGAUGUUGAAGUCUUGUGUGGGAAAACUAAAUAUCCUGCUGAUUUUCUUGUUCUUGGUUCCCCACAAGAUAGCUUUUGUCCCAUUAUAUUUGGUAGACCAUUCUUAAACACUAUUAAUGCUGGGAUAGAUUGCAAAAGGAUGUUGUUACUAUCGGUUUAGAUGAUAUGUCUCAUGAAUUUAAUUUCUCUAAAUUUAGUAGACAACGCCGUGAAGAAGAAUUACCUAGUAAGGAUGAAAUUAUUGGUCUUGCUUCUAUUGUUGUACCUCCUAGUGAUCCUUUAGAACAAUAUUUACUAGACCAUGAAAAUGAUAUGUUUAUGAAUGAAAGAAGGGAAAUAGAUGAAGUAUUCUUUAAAUAGGAACCUAUUCUGAAACACAAUUUGCCUGUUGAAAUCCUAGGGGACCCUCCUCCACCCAAGGGUGAUCCCGUGUUUGAGCUUAAACUGUUGCCUGAUACUCUUAAAUAUGCUUAUCUUGAUGAGAAAAAGAUAUAUCAUGUUAUUAUUAGUGCUAACCUUUCAGAGCAUGAGGAAGCGAGAUUAUUGGAAACUUUGAAGAAGCACCGUGCUGCUAUUGGGUAUACUCUUGAUGAUCUUAAGGGCAUUAGUCCCACUCUAUGUCAACAUAAAAUAAAUUUGGAAACCAGUUCAUGAUCAUCAACGGCGGCUGAAUCCUAAAAUGAAAGAAGUGGUAAGAAAGGAAAUACUAAAGCUCCUUGAGGCAGGUAUGAUCUAUCCCGUUGCUGAUAGUUAGUGGGUAAGUCCUUUCCAUUGUGUCCCUAAGAAGGGAGGUAUUACUGUCGUUCCUAAUGACAAAGAUGAAUUGAUUCCUCAAAGAAUUAUUACAGGUUAUAGGAUGGUAAUUGAUUUCCGCAAAUUAAAUAAGGCCACUAAAAAGGAUCGUUACCCCUUACCUUUUAUCGAUCAAAUGCUAGAACUAUUAUCCAAACAUACACAUUUUUGUUUUCUAGAUGGUUAUUAUGGUUUCUCUCAAAUACAUGUGUCAGCCAAGGAUCAAUCAAAGUCUACUUUUACUUGCCCUUUUGGUACUUUUGCUUAUAGACGUAUGCCUUUUGGUUUAUGUAAUGCACCUGCUACCUUUCAAAGAUGCAUGAUGGCUAUAUUCUCUGACUUUUGUGAAAAGAUUUGUGAGGUUUUCAUGGACGAUUUCUCCGUCUAUGGAUCUUCUUUUGAUGAUUGCUUGAGCAACCUUGAUCGAGUUUUGCAGAGAUGUGAAGAAACUAAUCUUGUCUUCAAUUGGGAAAAGUGCCACUUUAUGGUUAAUGAAGGUAUUGUCUUGGGCCAUAAAGUUUCUGAAAGAGGUAUUGAGGUUGAUAAAGCCAAGGUUGAUGCUAUUGAAAAGAUGCCAUGUCCCAAGGACAUCAAAGGUAUAAGAAGUUUCCUUGGUCAUGCCGGUUUUUCUAGGAGGUUCAUUAAGGACUUCUCAAAAAUUUCUCGGCUUCUGACUAAUUUAUUACAAAAAGAUAUACCAUUUGUCUUUGAUGAUGAUUGUGUACAAGCAUUUGAAAUACUUAAGAAAGCAUUGAUCUCUGCACCUAUUGUUCAGCCACCUGAUUGGAAUUUACGCUUUGAAAUUAUGUGUGAUGCUAGUGAUUAUGCUGUAGGUGCUGUUCUAGGGAAAAGAGUUGAUAAGAAAUUAAACGUUAUUCAAUAUGCUAGUAAAACCCUAGACAAUGCUCAAAGAAAUUAUGCUACUACUGAAAAAGAAUUCUUAGCAGUUGUAUUUGCUUGUGAUAAGUUCAGACCUUAUAUUGUUGAUUCUAAAGUAACUAUUCACACUGAUCAUGCUGCUAUUAAAUAUCUUAUGGAAAAGAAAGAUGCUAAACCUAGACUUAUUAUAUGGGUUCUCUUGCUACAAGAAUUUGACUUACAUAUUGUUGAUAGAAAAGGAGCUAAGAACCUCGUUGCAGACAACUUGUCUAGGUUAGAAAAUGUGCUUGAUGACCCACUACCUAUUGAUUAUAGCUUUCCUGAUGAGCAAUUAAAUGUCAUAAAUGCUUCUCAUACUGCUCCAUGGUAUGUUGAUUAUGCUAAUUACGUUGUUGCCAAAUUCAUACCACCUAGUUUCACAUACCAGCAAAAGAAAAAGUUCUUCUAUGAUUUGAGGCAUUACUGUUGGGAUGACCCAGAUCUUUAUAAAGAAGGAGUAGAUGGUGUUAUUAGAUGUUGUGUACCUGAGCAUGAACAGGAAUAGAUCCUACGCAAGUGUCACUCUGAAGCUUAUGGAGGACACCAUGCUGGAGAUAGAACUGCACAUAAGGUAUUGCAAUCUAGUUUUUAUUGGCCUACUCUCUUCAAGGAUGCCCGUAAGUUUGUCUUAUCUUGUGAUGAAUGUCAAAGAAUUGGUAAUAUUAGCAGAUGUUAAGAAAUGCCUAUGAACUAUUCACUCGUUAUUAAACCAUUUGAUGUUUGGGGCUUUGACUAUAUGGGACCUUUUCCUGCCUCUAAUGGAUAUACACAUAUUUUAGUUGUUGUUGAUUACGUUACUAAGUGGGUAGAAGCUAUUCCAACUAGUAGUGCUGAUCAUAACACUUCUAUUAAAAUGCUCAAAGAAGUUAUUUUUCCAAGAUUUGGAGUCCCUAGAUAUUUAAUGACUGAUGGUGGUUCACAUUUUAUUCAUGGUGCUUUCCGUAAAAUGCUUGGUAAGUAUGAUGUUAAUCAUAGAAUUGCAUCCCCUUAUCACCCUCAGUCUAGUGGUCAAGUACAAUUGAGUAAUAGAGAGCUCAAAUUAAUUUUGCAAAAGACUGUCAAUAGGUCUAGAAAUAAUUGGUCCAAGAAACUUGAUGAUGCAUUAUGGGCCUAUAGAACUGCAUAUAAAAAUCCUAUGGGUAUGUCUCCGUAUAAAAUGGUUUAUGGAAAAGCAUGUCACUUACCUUUUGAACUAGAACACAAGGAAUAUUGGGCUAUUAAAGAGCUCAAUUAUGAUUUUAAACUUGUCGGUGAGAAGAGGUUAUUUGAUAUUAGCUCACUCGGUGAAUGGAGAACCCAAGCCUACGAAAAUGCCAAGUUGUUUAAAGAAAAAGUUAAAAGAUGGCAUGAUAAAAGAAUACAAAAGCGUGAGUUUAAUGUAGAUGAUUAUGUAUUGCUAUACAACUCUCGUUUAAGAUUUUUUGCAGGAAAACUUCUCUCUAAAUGGGAAGGUCCUUACGUUAGCGAGGAGGUCUAUCGUUCCGGUGCCAUAAAAAUCAACAACUUCGAAGGCACAAAUCCGAAGGUGGUGAACGGUCAAAGAAUCAAACAUUAUAUCUCAGGUAAUCCCAUAAAUGUUGAAACCAAUGUUAUUGAAACCGUAACCCCGGAGGGAUACAUAAGGGACACUUUCCGAAACGUUUCAGACUCCGAAAAGGAAUAGGUAUGUGGUACGGUAAGUAAACCGACUCCAAAACAGUUUUUAAGGCAAUAUUUCUCUGUUUUGGAAUAUUUAGAAAAAUAGAAAAAUAAGAAGCAGUCCGGGAAGGACACGAGGCCUCCACGAGGGUGGAGGGCGCGCCCUACCCUACUGGGCGCGCGCCCCUACCUCGUGGGCACCUCGUGCGCUCUCCGGACUCCGUUUUCGUACACGACACGUAUUUUGGUCGGUAAAAAUUCAUUAUAUAAUCUCCCGGGGGUUUUGACUCCCGUAUCACGCAAUUAUCCUCUGUUUGUGUUUCGAGCUGUUUUUCUGACAGAUCCAGGAUGUCAUGUCAUCUUCAAGUGCCCCCAAGGACCAGUUCUUCGAGAAGGUCAUCAACCCCUACCUCGCGGAGGUGCUGCAACACCCUCAAACCAUUGAGAUGUGUGAGGGGUUGUUGCACAUCCGCGAUGUUGAGGGACCAAGGAAGACCGGAAGCACGAAGGCAAGGCUCAAGGCAUUGGAGCAAGAUGUUUUCAAGUGUCAGGAGAUGGUGGAGCAUGGACUCGAUUCCAAUCACAUUAUGAUCAUGGAGUUCACCAACAACCACAAGCUGGACGUCAAGGAUAUUGGGGAGGCCAUCUUCAAGCUUCAUGAGAAAAUCGAGCACCUCCAAGCCCAGAUCUAUGACCUGCAAAAUCAAAACUGUGAGUAUGAAUAUAGAUUCAAGAGGAUGAGUUUGGCUGCAGAUUUGAGGUUUUAGGAGACUCGAUCAUCCUUCUAUGAUGGUGAGCCUAUGCCUUGGAAGAAGGACGACAAGCCUACGCCAUCAACAAAACCAUCACCUUCUCCACCAACAAAGAAGAAUUGAGUAUCUGGUAUGGGCACUCCUCUUGGCAACUGCCAAGCUUGGGGGAGUGCCCCGGUAUCGUAUCACCAUCACUUUUAUCUUUACCGUUUUUCUUAGUUCGAUCCUUUUGGUAAUAUCUUGAUCUAGUAGAAUAAUUUUUAUGGCAUGAUCUAGUUUUGAGUUUUGCUUUAUAAUCCCUCUAUGUAAUCGAGUCCGUGAGCUAUAUAUAAUAAAGAUUAGUGUUGAGUCAAGGGCUUGAUUAUUUUGCCAUGACCCUAAGUGAAUAAAAGAAAAGAGAAAGAAUAAAAAAAAAGGGGAACAAAGAGAUCAUAUGGAUCUUAUGGAGAGUAAUGAGCUCACAUAGAAAAAGUAUGAUGAAUAAAAGUUGUUGAAAGUUGACAAACAUAGUUUUGGUCAUCGUUGCAAUUAAUAGGAAGUAAUAAAGAAAGAGAGGUCUUCACAUAUAAAUAUACUAUCUUGGACAUCUUUUAUGAUUGUGAGCACUCAUUAAAAUAUGACAUGCUAAAGAGUUAACGUUGGACAAGGAAGACAACGUAAUGGGUUAUGUUUUCUUACAUCUGAGAUAAAUUAUAUUGUCAUGGAUCAUCCAACAUGGUUGAGCUUGCCUUUCCCCCUCAUGCUAGCCAAAUUCAUCGCACCAAGUAGAGAUACUACUUGUGCUUCCAAAUACCCUUAAACCAGUUUUGCCAUGAGAGUCCACCAUACCUACCUAUGUAUUGAGUAAGAUCCUCCAAGUAAGUUGUCAUCAGUGCAAGCAAUAAAAAUUGUUCUCUAAAUAUUUAUGACUUAUUGGUGUGGGAGAAAAUAAACUUUAUACGAUCGUGUGAUAUGGAAGAAAUAAAAGCGACAGACUGCAUAAUAAAGGUCCAUAUCACAAGUGGCAAUAUAAAGUGACGUUCUUUCGCAUUAAGAUUUUGUGCAUCCAACCAUAAAAGCGCAUGACAACCUCUGCUUCCCUCUGCGAAGGGCCUAUCUUUUACUUUUACCUCCUACCUUGCAUAAGAGUCAUGGUGAUCUUCACCCUUCCUUCUUACAUUUUAUCCUUUGGCAAGCACAGUAUGUUGGAAAGAUCCUGGUAUAUAUGGCUAAUUGGAUGUGAGUUUUCAUGAACUAUUAUUGUUGACAUUACCCUUGAGGUAAAACGUUGGGAGGCAAAACCAUAAGCCCCUAUCUUUCUCUGUGUCCGAUUAAAACUCCAUACCCAUAAGUAUUGUGUGAGUGUCAGCAAUUGUGAAAGACUAUAUGAUAGUUGAGUAUGUGGAUUGCUGAAAAGCUCUUAUAUAUUGACUCUUUCCUAUGUUAUGAUAAAUUGCAAUAGCUCCAAUGACUGAGAUUAUAGUUUGUUAGUUUUCAAUGAAGUUUAUGAUUCAUACUUGAAAUUGUGAUUGAAUUAAUACUCUAGCAUAAGAAACCAUAUGACAAGAAUUAUGUAAGUUGUUGUUCUAAGAAUGAUCAUGAUGCCCUCAUGUCUGUAUUUUACUUUUAUCGACACCUCUAUCUCCAAACAUGUGGACAUAUUUUUUGAUUUCGGCUUUCGCUUGAGGACAAGCGAGGUCUAAGCUUGGGGGAGUUGAUACGUCCAUUUUGCAUCAUGCUUUUAUAUCGAUAUUUAUUGCAUUAUGGGUUGUUAUUACACAUUAUGUCACAAUACUUAUGACUAUUCUCUCUUAUUUUACAAGGUUUACAUAAAGAGGAGAAUGCCGGCAACUGGGAUUCUGGGCUGGAAAAGGAGCAAAUAUUAUAGACCUAUUCUGCACAGCUCCAAAAGUCCUGAAACUUCACGGAAGACGUUUUCAGAAUAUAUAAAAAAUACUGAGCGCAAGAAGUUCACCAGGGGGGCCACACCCUGCCCACGAGGGUGGGGGGCGCGCCCUACCCCCCUGGGCGCGCCCCCUACCUCGUGGGCCCCCUGGUGGCCCUCCAAUGGCCAUCUUCUGCUAUAUGGAGUCUUACGAUGAGGAAAAAAUCAUAAGCCAUCUCCUCGGACGAAACUCCGCCGCUACGAGGCGGAACCUUGGCGGAUCCAAUCUAGGGCUCCGGCAGAGCUGUUUUCCCAGGGAAACUUCCCUCUGGGAGGGGGAAAUCAUCGCCAUUGUCAGGACCCCGAUUCCAAGCCACAUCGAUCUAGCCGGUAACACCUCAUAUCACUUUGCGGCCUCACGCACGAUAUCCCACGGGUGUCGCCUUACCAUGGCCCGGGACCAUUUGCGCCUUUUGGCUCACGUAUAUGAUAGUGUCGCUGGCAUCCAUAUGACAGAGAACCCGGGCCGACAUGGCUAGUCGUGAACCCAAAGCGGCACAGACCUAUGGAGACAGGCAUACAUGAAUCACAUCGAGCAUGUCGGUCAUCAGCGAGUGAUUCCGGGCUGUAGCACUGGGCUAACAGGACUCCGGGGAACCCGGGCUGUAGCAGGCUAGGCAGGACUCCGAAAGUCACCGCGUGACAUUUCCUCGAAGGGACAGACAUAGGAACGAAGUGAAUCACAUGCCGGCCAGUCAAGUGUCCUGAGCAGUAGUGCUGGGCUAGCAGGACUCCGGUGAACUGGGCUGUAGCGGACUACUAUGGCUCGAGGAACACUAGACUACAUUUCCCCAUAAGAAAGGCUGCCAAGGAUAAACAACUAGAUUGUCGGAUCCCACUCAUACCAAGCAUUUCAAUCAUACACACAAUAUGCCCGAUAUGAGUACAUACAACAUGGCAUCACAAUAAAACUCUACAACUCAAGUACUUUAUUUAAAGGCUCCAGAGAGCCAUACAUAACAUGUUCAUACAGAUAGGGGUCACAUGACCCGACACUCAAGUCAUACAAUCAUACAAGCACAUGCGGAAGCAACCGGUCUGAGUACAGACACUAGAAAGAAAGAAGGCUCCUCGAAGCCUGUCUAUCUACAUAGGGCCCUCCAUGGCCAUGAUCACCACCUAGGUGACUAAUCACUCGUCGACGUCAAGGUCUACGUAGAACCCAUCGGAGGGGGCGGUGUUGUCGUCUGAAAACAGUAAUUAAGCAAACAUGAGUACAAAGGUACUCAGCAAGUCUUGCAUCAGAACCUACUAUACAUGCUCAUUCUCAAGAAGGUGGUGGGGUUAUUGCAGCAAGCCAGCUUUGACUCUUGGCUAAGCUAUCCUACGGAACUUCUUUAGUAAAAUAGUUUUCGCACACGAGUCCACUACUCACCAACACAAUACUCCACUGGGGAUCCUCCCUCGUCAUCCUACGGGAGGGCCAUCCUCGGUACUCACACUUAUCUUGAGUCUUUUAGUAGUAUCCAUUAACUUGUCUAUGAACUGCAUAGGCAACAAAGUAGUCCUUUACCGCGGACGUGGCUAUUCGAAUAGUUUUAUACCCUGCAGGGGUGUACUUCGUCAUACACGCUUUCACCACUUACCGCCGUUUACACGACAUGUACUCGGCAACCUUCAAGCGGAAGCCCAGCGAGGGUGUCGGCCACGGCCUACCUAAACACUUAAGUCUCUAGUCCAGGUUUAUCGCCUAUCCAGGUUCCAUCCGCAGGGAGUCCGGCCGAGGUUUCCACAUACGGCCCCGAACGAUGUGAACAGGGUCCCGAGACGCCAAACGGGCGCCCGGCAUACCCGGCCAUGGUGUAUCUACCGCAACAUAGCCCACCCCUAGGGUCAGCGCUACGCACGGCCGCCAACACAUAACCUACAAACACCAGAAACUAUUUGCAUCUCCUGGACAGAGUACUAGGGUGAUUAAGAAGCCGAGAGGGUCAAUUAAGGAUCCCAAUGCAUGGUAGUAGCUGAAUCUUAAAAUCACACAUACAGAUCUCAGUUCUUAGGGACGGCCUCAAUGAAACAACCCACCAUGUACUCCUACAUGGCCUCUCGUCGAUACCUUUACCAAAACAUGUUCCACACAUCCCUCACAUUACUGACAUAAUCAUUCCACUCUAGCCCAUCACCCAGAUGAACUAGACCUGACACAACUCUAAGCAUAGCAGGCAUAGCAAGGUAGGAAUCACAAAACAUGGCUCAAUCAACUCCUACACAUGCUAGUGGGUUUCAUCUAGUUACUGUGGCAAUGACAGGUCAUGCAGAGGAUAAGGGUUCAACUACCAUAGCACACAGCAGUUUGAAACGCGUUGUCUUAAUGCAGUAAACAAGAGCAGAAGUGAGAACAUGGGUUUGUAUUGGAAUGAUCAAUGGGUUGCUUGCCUGAUGGAGUGGUAGUGGGAUACUGCCCUUCAGUUGGAUACUCGUGAAUAUCCUCGGAGGCAGAACCUACCACGAAGAACACAUCGGAACACAAUCAACACAUGACGAUAUGCAACAAUAUGAUGCAUGCUAUGACAUGGCAAUAUAAACGUGUCUUGGCCUAAUGCAAGCUAUAACAGAAAGGAAUGAACUCAUUUGAAUCAAAGAUUGAAAUAUUAGCUCAUUAAACAUGGCCUUAGUAGUGCAUUUCCUUAAUCUGCUUAAACAGCAACGUAAACUUGUUUUGUCAUGCAUGAAACCAUUACAGAUGGAUAGAUUGAAUUUUUCUGAUAAUGUUUCAUAUAUAAAUUAUUUCAUUUGGAGCUAUGGUUGAUUUUCUAUGAUUUUUAGAAGUUUUAAAAAUUUUCUGGAAUUUCCUGAAUAAAAAUAAAUCCAAAAAAUGCAUUACUGCGUCAGCAUUGCGUCAUGCUGACCUCAGCAGGUCAAAGGCACCAACCCAAGUCAAACCUGACUGGUGGGCCCCUUCUGUCAGCCUCUCAGCUAAUUAACAGGAUUAGAUUAACACUAAUUAGCUGUCAGUGGGGCCUGGGCCCACAUGUUAGUGACUGAUUAACUUAAAAUUAAUUAAAACUAAUCCUAGAUUAGUUAGCAGACCGGCCCCACCUGUCAUAGACUCAGGGGGGUCUACCUGGGCCCACCCAGGGUCAAACUGGGUCAAACUCACCGGCGACUCGACGCCGGCGAGGCCCAAGACGGUGGCGCGGCUCGGAAAACGCCUACAUGGCACGAGCGAGGCCGUUCUUGGGCUCGUUGGAGAGCUCUUGCAGUCGCGCAUCUAAUGAUGGUGGAGGCCGGGCCUAUGGUGGCCGGAGACGACAACGGCGAGCUCCAAGGCGGCGGCCGGAGUUCGGCCAUGUGCGGGGUGUGGGCUGCAGCGUGCAAACGCGAAAACUAAGGCGCUAGCGAGGCACUAUGCGAUGCGACAAGCAUGUUGCAUAGCACGGGAGGACCAAAUGGUCGCCGGAGCGACGCCGGCGACGAGCUCGAGCGGAGACGAGCUUCGGCCAUGGUGGAACUAUGGCCUAGAGGGUGCAAAUGCGUGGGAAAGAAGAGGGGAAAGGCGGCAGAGCUCACAGGGAGGUCGAUGAGCAGCUCAGUGGGCUCGGGGGCGACCGGAGCAAGGCGAAUCGAUGAGCGGCGUCUGGCGGGUAUCGAGGUAGAAGACGAUCCGAUGGCGGCGAUGCAGGGCCUCCGGCGAUGCGUGGCUCGGUGGGGAGGGCGAGGGCGUCGCGGCGGAUCUUCUGGACAGGUCGGAGAAGCGAGGGGGUGACGAAGGGUGCGACUACGGCGGUGAGACGGUGACAAGCUCGUCGGCCAUGGUGCGGGAGAGGGUGAGGGAGACGAGGGGGAGAGUGAGGGAGGAUGAGAGGGGGACUUGGGGGUCGUGUGGCAUCCCUGGACGUCUCCAUGUGUCGGCAGAAGCAGGAGGUGGCCGGCGUGUGGCCGCGGGCGCCGGCCACGCCCUCCGUGUCCUUCUGGCGCGAGGAGGACGACGACUGGCAGCGCCAGUAGGCUGGGCCGAGCCAGGUGGGCUGGCCAGCACAGGUAAGGCCCAGGUGGGCUUCCCUCUCUCUUUUCUUUCUGUUUGUUUUCUUUUUCUAUUUAACUGCAACUGUUGGGCUUUAUUAAAAAUACUAAAACGUUUCCAAAAAUUCUGAAAAUAAAUGUGAGCUCUGUUUAGAAUAUUUCCAACAGGAAACAUGUAUUCCCAGAAUUAUUUGAGCAUUUAAAUUAUUUUAUAGCAUUUAAAUGCCCAAAUUCAAAUACUUAUGAUUUAAUUCAAUGACCUUCUGUUGACCUAGAAAAUUGUGCACCAAUUUUGCCAGAGGUUUUAACCCAAGACAAAGAGGGUGAACUUUUUAUAAGGGCAUUUCAGGUUCAUUGAAAAUAAUUUUAGUAAACCCUAGUUGUUUCCAGGGGGUGCUGGGGGUUCUGUCUUCCCCAUUUCAAAUUUAGUAGGAAAUUAAACAUGAUGCACACUCUAAUGCUUGAACUAAACUAGGGUGUGACAACUCACCCCCACUCAAAAGAAUCUCGUCCCGAGAUUUAGGAUCCUCCGGGAAGAAGGUGGGGUACUCGAGUCGAAGACGAUCCUCCCUUUCCCAAGUGGCUUCUUUCUCGGAGUGGUGUGACCAUUGAACCUUGAGAAACUUGAUAUUACGACGUCGAGUGGUACGCUCGGCUUGGUCAAGGAUACGAACGGGAUAUUCCCGAUAGGAGAGGUUAUCUUGUAGAUCAAGCGUUUCGUGGUCCACUCCACAGAUAGGAUCCGCGAAGCAACGCCUGAGUUGUGAAACGUGGAAGACAUCGUGAACUCUGGAAAGAUGCGGAGGUAGUUCCAAUUGGUAGGCAACUUCUCCUUGUUUGGCAAGAAUGCGAAAGGGUCCAAUGUAACGAGGAGCCAAUUUGCCUUUGAUACUGAAACGAUGGGUUCCCUUUAACGGGGUAACCCGAAGGUAAGCCUUCUCAUCGACUUCAUAAGUCAUAGGCUUAUGUUUACGAUCAUAUUGACUCUUUUGACGAGAUUGGGCUAUUUUCAAUUUCUCACGAAUAAUGCGAACCUGCUCUUCUGCUUCCUGAAUCAUAUCCGGGCCAAAGAGUUGUCUUUCCCUGGUUUCUGACCAGUUAAGAGGCGUUCGACAUUUUCGUCCAUAGAAAACUUCGAAAGGAGCUUUGCCCAAGCUAGCUUGAUAACUAUUGUUAUAAGCAAACUCCGCGAAGGGAAGGCAUUUCUCCCAACUCAUUCCGAACGAGAUAACAGAAGCUCGGAGCAUAUCUUCCAGAAUUUGAUUGACUCGCUCUACUUGACCACUUGAUUGAGGAUGGAAGGCGGUACUAAAAGAGAGACGAGUUCCCAUAGCAUUUUGGAAACUUUCCCAAAAUCGAGAGGUGAAGAGACUCCCACGGUCUGAGUUAAUUUCCAAUGGGACACCAUGAAGAGACACUAUUCGGGAGAUGUAUAAAUCGGCUAGCUGGCUAGCGGUGAUACUCUCACGAACAGGUAGAAAAUGGGCUACUUUGGAAAGUCGGUCGAUCGCGACGAAGAUGGCAUUAUUCCCUCUCUUGGUCCUGGGAAACCCACUGAUGAAAUCCAUACUGAUUUUAUCCCAUUUCCAUUCAGGAAUAGCCAAAGGUUGAAGGGUGCCAGCAGGCCGUUGGUGCUCUGCUUUAACACGACGACAGACGUCGCAGCUAGCAAUAUAUUGAGCGAUUUCUCUCUUCAUCCUAGUCCACCAAAACCUCUGGCGUAGGUCUUGAUACAUUUUAGUACUACCGGGAUGAAUGGUGAGAGGGGAUUCAUGAGCUUCCUUAAGGAUCAACUGGUGCAGAUGAUGUUUCUUGGGAACCACCAGACGGUUCUCAAAGAAGACAGCACCUCGCUCAUCCAUGGAGAAACAUUUAGCAACUCCGCUAGCAAUGUUUUCCUUAAUCCGGGAUAUGCCCUUGUCAUACCGCUGGGCGGUUAUGAUUUGAUCCAUAAGGGUAGGUUUCGCCACCAGGGUGGAUAGGAAUCCUCGAGGAACAAUGUGAAGAUUAAGCUUACGAAAUUCCUCAUGGAGAAGUGGUUGAAUUUGUUGUAACAUCAGGUUGUUACAAUAGGACUUACGGCUUAGCGCAUCAGCCAUGACAUUGGCUUUGCCCGGGGUGUAAGUUAUUCCUAAGUCGUAAUCCGAGAUCAACUCAACCCAACGUCUUUGCCUGAGAUUCAAAUCUGGUUGGGUGAAGAUAUAUUUCAAACUUUGGUGAUCGGUGAAGAUCUCGCAACGAUUAUAGAGGAGGUAAUGUUGCCAAGUUUUAAGUGCAUGGACUACAGCUGCCAGCUCUAGAUCAUGUGUGGGAUAAUUUUCCUCAUGUCGAUGUAAUUGCCGUGAAGCAUAGGCAAUUACCUGACGAUCUUGCAUGAGUAUGCAACCUAGUCCUUGUCGUGAGGCGUCACUAUAGAUAAUAAAGUCCUUGGAGAAGUCUGGUGGUACAAGUACGGGAGCAGAUGUCAAGCGUCUUUUCAGUUCCUGAAAGCUGAACUCGCACUGUGGAGUCCACUCAAACCUUUUAUCUUUCUUGAGGAGUUCAGUUAGAGGUUUAGCAACCUUGGAGAAAUUUUCGACGAAGCGGCGGCAAUAGCUCGCUAAGCCAAGGAAACUCUGAACUUGCUUGACCGUCUUAGGUGGAGUCCAGUCAAGGACGGCUUGAACUCGCUCGGGAUUGAUAGCAAUACCCUUACCAGAAAUUACAUGGCCUAGAUAGGUCACUUCUGGCAACCAAAAUUCACACUUGGAGAAUUUGGCAUAAAGGCGAUGCUCUCGAAGUUUCAUCAAUACCAGCCUUAGAUGUUCAGCAUGUUCCUCUUCAUUCUUGGAGUAGAUGAGUAUGUCAUCGAGGUAUACUACGACGAAUUUAUCCAAGUACUCCAUGAAGACCGAGUUCAUUAACCGAGAGAAGGUAGUUGGGGCAUUGGUUAAACCGAAGGACAUGACGGUGUACUCGUAUUGACCAUAACGAGUAACAAAGGCCGUUUUGGGAAUGUCCCCGUUUCUGAUUUUGAUUUGAUGGUAGCGCAACCUCAAAUCCAUCUUGGAGAAGACUGAGGAUCCAGCGAGCUGAUCAUACAGAUCGUUGAUCCUGGGAAGCGGGUAUUUGUUCUUGAUGGUGACCAAAUUGACAGGUCGGUAAUCCACAACCAUUCGAUCCGUUCCAUCCUUCUUCUUAACGAAUAGGACGGGGCAAGCCCAAGGAGAGGAACUAGGACGGAUGAAACCCUUUUUCAAGGACUCAUCGAGUUGGUUCUUAAGCUCGGCUAGUUCUAAGGGUGCCAUCUUGUAGGGUCUUCUAGAAAUUGGAACGGUUCCUGGAACAAGGUCUAUCACAAAGUCGACAUCCCUGUCAAGUGGAACACCUGGCAGUUCUUCUGGAAAGACAUCCGGAAAGUCUCGGACUACCGGAACAUCCUCAAGGUCUGGAAGGGGGUUGGCAUUUAGGGAGUAAAGUUGGCGCUUGGCCACUCGAGUUAAGACAUUAACUGUCUUGCCCGAUGGGUGAGUAAGUUGAACGGUUCUAGUGGCACAAUCGAUCUUAGCAUAAUGAGCUGACAUCCAGUCCAUACCCAAGAUGAUGUUUAUGUCCGAGGACUUGAGAGCUAUUAAGGAUGCAAGGAAGACAAGUCUAUCGACAAGAAUUUCGUUCCCAUGGCUUACUCUAGAAGUUUGCCAUCUAGAGCCAGGGGUUUGAAUUUCCAUGGUAGAGGGCAUGUCACAGAAUGUCGUGUUGUGCAAUCGAGCAUAGUUCUCGGAUAUGAAUGAAUGAGAUGCUCCAGUAUCAAAAAGAACAGAUGCCGGAUGGCAGUUAACAAGGAGCGUACCAAGGACGACGUUGGGAUCCUCAUGAGCCUCCUCGGAUGAAACAUAGUUGACAUGGCCACGUGCAGUGGUGGCCGGCUUGGCGUAGAACGUUUUUCCCGCGGGCUUACCACGGCCAACGGACUUUCCAGUUUGAUUGGGGUUGUUGUUCUGGGGACACUCUCGGCUAUAGUGACCCAGCUCUCCACACUUGAAGCAUGUCACCACAUUGGGGCGUGGAGCAGCAUUAGUAGCAGGGCCACCAUAGGGCUUGGGCGGUGCAAAUUUCUGGUUGGGACGAGGCGCCUCAAAGGAUGGCCUUGGAAUGAACCUGGGUGGCAAUGACGUGCUUGGAAUCCACACCCGGCGCUUCUGAGCUCUAGAGCCGGAUGAAGAGCCAAAAUCACAGGAGUGCUUGCGUGAAGCGUCAUAAUCAGUCUGGCAUGUCUUAGCACUGAUGGCUUUAUUGACCAACUUCUGGAAGGAGGUGCACUCGUGCAGACGAAGAUCGCGACGAAGCUCAGGGCUAAGUCCCUUGCGGAACCUUGCCUGCUUCUUAGCGUCAGUAGAUACCUCUUCAGGGGCAUAACAUGCCAGGUUCCCAAAUUCACGACUAUAAGCAUCCACAGUCAGUCUUCCUUGGGUGAAGUUGCAGAACUCCUCCCUCUUGCGAUCCAUGAGACCUUCCGGAAUGUGAUGCUCACGGAAAGCCUCACUGAAUUCAGCCCAAGUAGUGAUUUGACCGACCGGGCGCAUAGCUUCGAAGUUUUCCCACCAAAGGCUAGCAGGGCCUUCCAGGUGAUAGGCAGCAUAGGUAACCUUGUCGGCUUCGGCUACAUUGGCAGAACAUAGCUUGUGGGUGAUGCUGCGAAGCCAGUCAUCCGCGUUGAGGGGCUCGACGGAAUGGUUAAACUUUGGUGGGUACAGCUUGAUAAAGUCAUUGAUUGACACCAAGUCAUUUCGCGGGUGGCAUGCAGUGUUCUGCUCAAUCCGCUCUAGCAGGCGGUUAGUCUCACGCUUGUUUCUUUCCGCCUCCAGCAUUACUUCGGCCAGAGAAGGCGGGUGAGGCAGAUUUUCACCUCUAGCUGCACUGGCUUCCCCCUGCUCUGGGGCAGCAGGGUUGCUGCGGGUGUUGACCAUCCUAGGAGAAAACUAGACAACGGUUUAGACAAGGAUGGUUCAAACUUAGCCAGGAAGUGCAGAAUGUAAUGGAUAACACGGAAUGCAGAGAUGUUCAUCCGUAUGUCAUGGUAAUAUAAAACUGCCAUAUAUAUACCAACGGUCAUACACAUCAUACAUAGUUUAGUACAAGCCCAGGCUACAGUACAACUAUGAUGAAAGACGUUACAUCUCAUCGGAGGCAUUCCAAGCUCCUAUACAUUAUUUGUCUACACCUCCGGAAUCGAUUACACGCAAAGUCAUAUUCCACAAGUCACGCAGGACAGUGGAGAUACAACUACUACAAUACUAGUGGUACUACUACUAACUCAGACAGCUCCGUAGUAGUCCUCAUAGAAGUCACCUCCAUAGCCUGGAAGUUCAACGUGACCAUCCGGGAACAUACGGUCCUGAGGAGCCUGUGGACCAUAGGGGCUAGGAUGAGGUCUUGGACCAACAAACGGUGGCCUGCGGGGACCACGGGGUGGGGUGAUGCCUCCCACAUCACGCCAAUCCACCAUGUCUGGCAGAGCUGAUCUCACAGGAUACAGAUCCCUUGUAUCCAUACAUCCAGCUUGCACCGCAGGUGCAAACCGAGUCAAUGUGGCCCAAUGAUCAGCACGGGUAUUGAAAAGCUCCAGCCUCAAGGCCCGAUUCUCUUGGUCCUUAUCUUCGAGCAUCUCAGCAGUGGUACGAGUUAAUGAAUCCUCCUGAGUGGAGUCAGCAUAGAUAGCCUGAAGAUACCCUUGCGCUCCCGAAAGUGAAGCUGGCAUGUAAUGGAAAUCAGUGUUCCGAAGCAGGCCAGUCCGAACUCGCAUGAUGGUCAUCAUGGAAUAGGCAGCAUCCUGCACAGCCAUCUCAACAGUAACCCUGAGUCCAUAGGAACAGUGAAGGGGCUCGGUAGAUCCAGGAUAAGAAGCAAAUAUCCUAACGGUGCAGAAAUACUGGCUUUGAUUAAAGUCGCGGAACUGCUCCUCGACGGUGUAUUCGGGAUACCAACGGUAACCCGUCUCGAUCAUGACCCGGACUAACAUAGCAGUAUGACCGGGCACGUCGAGGCACCGGGUCAGGCGAACCACUUGGUUUUGAGCAUGGUUGGCCAUCUGAAAGCACAACCACAAUGCAAAGACAUUAGAAUUCCUAGGGAAAAUUGGACAGCAUAACGGCUGUAAAUGCUCAGAAAAAGAUUUGAGACAUCCACAACAGUUCACAAUACCACUCAACAACGUCAUAUCAAGGUUCUGAUUCAAAUAGCAACAUACUAAGAAUAGUAGAAACUGAACUGGGACUUGUAACAACAAUCCUAUAAGCUACUACGGAUUAGUAACACGUGAACCUGAUAGAAGAAGAGAGCCUAGUCCUUAGCCCACGUUGAAUGAGAAGAGAAUGACUCAGCUCAGAGGCAUAGGGUAAAGGAGUAAAAGAGCCUUACGUUCCCUUCCACAAUCAAUUCCCCUACAUAUAACUAAAGCAUUUCUAGAGUCGACAUCGACCAGUUUGGCUCAACGAACCUACAGGCAGUCCGGCUCUGAUGCCAACGCUGUCAGGACCCCGAUUCCAAGCCACAUCGAUCUAGCCGGUAACACCUCAUAUCACUUUGCGGCCUCACGCACGAUAUCCCACGGGUGUCGCCUUACCAUGGCCCGGGACCGUUUGCGCCUUUUGGCUCACGUAUAUGAUAGUGUCGCUAGCAUCCAUAUGACAGAGAACCCGGGCCGACAUGGCUAGUCGUGAACCCAAAGCGGCACAGACCUAUGGAGACAGGCAUACAUGAAUCACAUCAAGCAUGUUGGUCAUCAGCGAGUGAUUCCGGGCUGUAGCACUGGGCUAACAGGACUCCGGGGAACCCGGGCUGUAGCAGGCUAGGCAGGACUCCGGAAGUCACCGCAUGACAUUUCCCCGAAGGGACAGACAUAGGAACAAAGUGAAUCACAUGCCGGCCAGUCAAGUGUCCUGAGCAGUAGUGCUGGGCUAGCAGGACUCCGGUGAACCGGGCUGUAGCGGACUACUAUGGCUCGAGGAACACUAGACUACAUUUCCCCAUAAGAAAGGCUGCCAAGGAUAAACAACUAGAUUGUCGGAUCCCACUCAUACCAAGCAUUUCAAUCAUACACACAAUAUGCCCGAUAUGAGUACAUACAACAUGGCAUCACAACAAAACUCUACAACUCAAGUACUUUAUUUAAAGGCUCCAGAGAGCCAUACAUAACAUGUUCAUACAGAUAGGGGUCACAUGACCCGACACUCAAGUCAUACAAUCAUACAAGCACAUGCGGAAGCAACCGGUCUGAGUACAGACACUAGAAAGAAAGAAGGCUCCUCGAAGCCUGUCUAUCUACAUAGGGCCCUCCAUGGCCAGGAUCACCACCUGGGUGGCUAGUCACUCGUCGACGCCAAGGUCUACGUAGAACCCAUCGAAGGGGGCGGUGUUGUCGUCUGAAAACAGUAAUUAAGCAAACAUGAGUACAAAGGUACUCAGCAAGUCUUACAUCAGAACCUACUAUACAUGCUCAUUCUCAAGAAGGUGGUGGGGUUAUUGCAGCAAGCCAGCUUUGACUCUUGGCUAAGCUAUCCUACGGAACUUCUUUAGUAAAAUAGUUUUUGCACACGAGUCCACUACUCACCAACACAAUACUCCACCGGGGAUCCUCCCUCGUCAUCCUACGAGAGGGCCAUCCUCGGUACUCACACUUAUCUUGAGUCUUUUAGUAGUAUCCAUUAACUUGUCUAUGAACUGUUGGGGAACGUUGCAGAAAACAAAAAAAUUCCUACGGUUUCACCAAGAUCCAUCUAUGAGUUCAUCUUGCAACGAGUGGUUGGAUGCAUCUACGUACCUUGUAGAUCGCGAGCGGAAGCGUUCAAAGAACGGGGAUGAGGGAGUCGUACUCGACGUGAUCCAAAUCACCGGAGAUCCUAGCGCCGAACGGACGGCACCUCCGCGUUCAACACACGUACGGUCAGCGUAACGUCUCCUCCUUCUUGAUCCAGCAAGGGGGAAGGAGAGGUUGAGCAAGAUGGCUCCAGCAGCAGCACGACGGCGUGGUGGUGAUGGAGCUGCAGUACUCCGGCAGGGCUUCGCCAAGCUCUAUGGAGAAGGAGGAGGUGUUGGACAGGGAGAGGGAGGCACCAAUGGCGUAGGUAGGAGGCCCUCCCUCCCCCCCCCCACUAUAUAUAGGGGGGCGCCGUCCCUAGGAGAUGCAAUCUCCUAGGGGGGGCGGCGGCCAAGGGGUGGGGGGCUUGCCCCCAAGCAAGGGGGCGCCCCCCUUUAGGGUUUCCCCCACCCUAGGCGCAUGGGCCCUAGGGGAAGUGGCGCCCCAGCCCACUUUGGGCUGGAUCCCUUCCCACUUCAGCCCAUGGGGCCCUCUGGGAUAGGUGGCCCCACCCGGUGGACCCCCGGGACCCUUCCGGUGGUCCCGGUACAAUACCGGUGACCCCAAAACUUGUCCCGAUGGCCGAAAUAGCACUUCCUAUAUAUAAUUCUUUACCUCUGGACCAUUCCGAAACUCCUCGUGACGUCCGGGAUCUCAUCCGGGACUCCGAACAACAUUCUGGUUACUGCAUAUACAUAUCCCUACAACCCUAGCGUCACCGAACCUUAAGUGUGUAGACCCUACGGGUUCGGGAGACAUGUAGACAUGACCGAGAUUGCUCUCCGGUCAAUAACCAACAGCGGGAUCUGGAUACCCAUGUUGGCUCCCACAUGCUCCUUGAUGAUCUCAUCGGAUGAACCACGAUGUCGAGGAUUCAAGCAACCCCGUAUACAAUUCCCUUUGUCAAUCGGUAUGUUACUUGCCCGAGAUUUGAUCGUAGGUAUCCCAAUACCUCGUUCAAUCUCGUUACCGGCAAGUCACUUUACUCGAACCAUAAUGCAUGAUCCCGUGACCAGACACUUGGUCACUUUGAGCUCAUAAUGAUGAUGCAUUACCGAGUGGGCCCAGUGAUACCUCUCCGUCAUACGGAGUGACAAAUCCCAGUCUUGAUCCGUGUCAACCCAACAGACACUUUCGGAGAUACCCGUAGUAUACCUUUAUAGCCACCCAGUUACGUUGUGACGUUUGGUAUACCCAAAGUACUCCUACGGUAUUCGGGAGUUACACGAUCUCAUGGUCUAAGGAAAAGAUACUUGACAAUGCAAAACUCCAGCAAACGAACUAUACGGUCUUGUGCUAUGUUUAGGAUUGGGUCUUGUCCAUCACAUCAUUCUCCUAAUGAUGUGAUCUCGUUAUCAAUGACAUCCAAUGUCCAUAGUCAGGAAACCAUGACUAUCUGUUGAUCAACGAGCUAGUCAACUAGAGGCUUACUAGGGACAUGUUGGUGUCUAUUAUUCACACAUGUAUUACGAUUUCCGGAUAACACAAUUAUAGCAUGAAUAAAAGACAAUUAUCAUGAACAAGGAAAUAUAAUAAUAAUGCUUUUAUUAUUGCCUCUAGGGCAUAUUUCCAACAUGAACUGCAUAGGCAACCAAGUAGUCCUUUACCGCGGACGCGGCUAUUCAAAUAGUUUUAUACCCUACAGGGGUGUACUUCGUCAUACACGCUUUCACCACUUACCGCCGUUUACACGACAUGUACUCGGCAACCUUCAAGCCGAAGCCCAGCGAGGGUGUCGGCCACGGCCUACCUAAACACUUAAGUCUCUAGUCUAGGUUUAUCGCCUAUCCAGGUUCCAUCCGCAGGGAGUCCGGCCGAGGUUUCCACAUACUGCCCCGAACGAUGUGAACAGGGUCCCGAGACGCCAAACGGGCGCCCGGCAUACCCGGCCACGGUGUAUCUACCUCAACAUAGCCCACCCCUAGGGUCAGCGCUACGCACGGCCGCCAACACAUAACCUACAAACACCAGAAACUAUUUACAACUCCUGGACAGAGUACUAGGGUGACUAAGAAGCCGAGAGGGUCAAUUAAGGAUCCCAAUGCAUGGUAGUAGCUGAAUCUUAAAAUCACACAUACAGAUCUCAGUUCUUAGGGAUGGCCUCAAUGAAACAACCCACCAUGUACUCCUACAUGGCCUCUCAUCGAUACCUUUACCAAAACAUGUUCCACACAUCCCUCACAUUAUCGACAUAAUCAUUUCACUCUAGCCCAUCACCCAGAUGAACCAGACCUGACACAACUCUAAGCAUAGCAGGCAUAGCAAGGUAGGAAUCACAAAACAUGGCUCAAUCAACUCCUACACAUGCUAGUGGGUUUCAUCUAGUUACUGUGGCAAUGACAGGUCAUGCAGAGGAUAAGGGUUCAACUACCGUAGCACACAACAGUUUGAAACGCGUUGUCUUAAUGCAGUAAACAAGAGCAGAAGCGAGAACAUGGGUUUGUAUCGGAAUGAUCAAUGGGUUGCUUGCCUGAUGGAGUGGUAGUGGGAUACUGCCCUUCAGUUGGAUACUUGUGAAUAUCCUCGGAGGCAGAACCUACCACGAAGAACACAUCGAAACACAAUCAACACAUGACGAUAUGCAACAAUAUGAUGCAUGCUAUGACAUGGCAAUAUGAAUGUGUCUUGGCCUAAUGCAAGCUAUAACAGAAAGGAAUGAACUCAUUUGAAUCAAAGAUUCAAAUAUUAGCUCAUUAAACAUGGCCUUAAUAGUGCAUUUCCUUAAUCUGCUUAAACAGCAAGGUAAACUUGUUUUGUCAUGCAUGAAACCAUUAAAGAUGGAUAGAUUGAAUUUUUCUGAUAAUUUUUCAUAUAUAAAUUAUUUCAUUUGGAGCUAUGGUUGAUUUUCAAUGAUUUUUAGAAGUUUUAAACAUUUUCUGGCAUUUCCUGAAUAAAAAUAAAUCCAGAAAAUGCAUUACUGCGUCAGCAUUGCGUCAUGCUGACCUCAGCAGGUCAAAGGCGCCAGCCCAAGUCAAACCUGACUGGUGGGCCCCUUCUGUCAGCCUCUCAGCUAAUUAACAGGAUUAGAUUAACACUAAUUAGCUGUCAGUGGGGCCUGGGCCCACAUGUCAGUGACUGAUUAACUUAAAAUUAAUUAAACAAAUCCUAGAUUACUUAGCAGACCGGCCCCACCUGUCAUAGACUCAGGAGGGUCUACCUGGGCCCAUCCAGGGUCAAACUGGGUCAAACUCGCUGGCGACUCGACGCCAGCGAGGCCCGAGACGGUGGCGCGGCUCGAAAAACGCCUACAUGGCACGAGCGAGGCCGUUCUUGGGCUCGUUGGAGAGCUCUUGCAGUCGCACAUCUAAUGGUGGUGGAGGCCGGGCCUACGGUGGCCGGAGACGACGACGGCGAGCUCCAAGGCGGCGGCCAGAGUUCGGCCAUGUGCGGGGUGUGGGCUAUAGCGUGCAAACGCGAAAACUAAGGCGCUAGCGAGGCACUACGCGAUGCGGCAAGCAUGUUGCGUAGCACGGGAGGACCAAAUGGUCGCCGAAGCGACGCCGGCGACGAGCUCGAGCGGAGACGAGCUUCGGCCAUGGUGGAACUAUGGCCUAGAGGGUGCAAAUGCGUGGGAAAGAAGAGGGGAAAGGCGGCAGAGCUCACAGGGAGGUCGAUGAGCAGCUCAGUGGGCUCGGGGGCGACCGGAGCGAGGCGAAUCAAUGAGCGGCGUCUGGCGGGUAUCAAGGUAGAAGAUGAUCCGAUGGCGGCGAUGCAGGGCCUCCGGCGAUGCGUGGCUCGAUGGGGAGGGCGAGGGCAUCGCGGCAGAUCUUCUGGAAAGGUCGGAGAGGCGAGGAGGUGACGGAGGGCGCGACUAUGGCGGUGAGACGGCGACAAGCUCGUCGGCCAUGGUGCAGGAGAGGGUGAGGGAGACGAGGGGGAGAGUGAUGUUGGGGAACGUAGUAAUUUCAAAAAUUUCCUACGCAGACGUAAGAUCAUGGUGAUGCAUAGCAACGAGAGGGAAGAGUGUGAUCUACGUACCCUUGUAGAUCGACAACGGAAGCGUUUGGUUGAUGUAGUCGUACGUCUCCACGGCCCGACUGAUCAAGCACCGAAACUACGGCACCUCCGAGUUUUAGCACACGUUCAGCUCGAUGAUGAUCCCUGGACUCCGAUCCAGCAAAGUGUCGGGGAAGAGUUCCGUCAGCACGACGGCGUGGUGAUGAUAUUGAUGUACUACUGUCGCAGGGCUUCGCCUAAGCACCGCUACAAUAUUAUCGAGGACUAUGGUGGCAGGGGGCGCCGCACACGGCUAAGAAUAUGAUCACAUGGAUCAACUUGUGUCUCUUGGGGUGCCCUUGCCUCCGUAUAUAAAGGUUCAAGAGGGGGAGGCCGGCCGGCCACCAUAGGGCACUCCAGGAGGAGUCCUACUCCCUCCGGGAGUAGGACUUCUCCCCCAAUCCUAGUUGGAAUAGGAUUCGCGAGGUGGGAACGGAGAGAGAGAGAGAAGGAAGGGGGCGCCGCCCCCCCCCCCCCUCUCCUUGUCCUAUUCGGACUAGGGGGGAGGGGCGCGCGGCCCGGCCCUGGCUGCCUCUCCUCUUCUUCCACUAAGGCCCAUUAAGGCCCAUGUACCUCCCGGGGGGUUCCGGUAACCUCCCGGUACUCCGCUAAAAUCCCGAUUUCACCCGGAACACUUCCGAUAUCCAAACAUAGGCUUCCAAUAUAUCAAUCUUUAUGUCUCGACCAUUUCGAGACUCCUUGUCAUGUCCAUGAUCACAUCCGGGACUCCGAACAACCUUCGGUACAUCAAAACGUAUAAACUCAUAAUAUAACUGUCAUCGAAACCUUAAGCGUGCGGACCCUACGGGUUCGAGAACAAUGUAGACAUGACCGAGACAUGUCUCUGGUCAAUAACCAAUAGCGGGACCUGGAUGCCCAUAUUGGCUCCUACAUAUUGUACGAAGAUCUUUAUCGGUCAGACCGCAUAACAACAUACGUUGUUCCCUUUGUCAUCGGUAUGUUACUUGACCGAGAUUCGAUCGUCGGUAUCCAAUACCUAGUUCAAUCUCGUUACCGGCAAGUCUCUUUACUCGUUCCGUAAUACAUCAUCUCGCAACUAACUCAUUAGUUGCAUUGCUUGCAAGGCUUAAGUGAUGUGCAUUACCGAGAGGGCCCAGUGAUACCUCUCCGACGAUCGGAGUGACAAAUCCUAAUCUCGAAAUACGUCAACCCAACAUGAACCUUUGGACACACCUGUAGAGCACCUUUAUAAUCACCCAGUUACGUUGUGACGUUUGGUAGCACACAAAGUGUUCCUCCGGCACACGGGAGUUACAUAAUCUCAUAGUCAUAGGAACAUGUAUAAGUCAUGAAGAAAGCAAUAGCAACAUACUAAACGAUCAGGUGCUAAGCUAAUGGAAUGGGUCAUGUCAAUCAGAUCAUUCAACUAAUGAUGUGAUCCCGUUAAUCAAAUGACAACUCUUUGUCCAUGGUUAGGAAACUUAACCAUCUUUGAUUAACGAGCUAGCCAAGUAGAGGCAUACUAGUGACACUCUGUUUGUCUAUGUAUUCACACAUGUAUUAUGUUUCCGAUUAAUACAAUUCUAGCAUGAAUAAUAGACUUUUAUCAUGAUAUAAGGAAAUAAAUAAUAACUUUAUUAUUGCCUCUAGGGCAUAUUUCCUUCAGUCUCCCACUUGCACUAGAGUCAAUAAUCUAGAUUACACAGUAAUGAUUCUAACACCAAUGGAGCUUUGGUGUUGAUCAUGUUUUGCUCGUGGAAGAGGCUUAGUCAACGGGUCUGCUACAUUCAGCUCUGUAUGUAUCUUGAAAAUCUCUAUGUCUCCCACCUAGACUAGAUCCCAGAUGGAAUUGAAGUGUCUCUUGAUGUGCUUGGUUCUCUUGUGAAAUCUGGAUUCCUUUGCCAAGGCAAUUGCACCAGUAUUGUCACAAAAGAUUUUCAUUGGACCCGAUGCACUAGGUAUGACACCUAGAUCGGAUAUGAACUCCUUCAUCCAGACUCCUUCAUUUGCUGCUUCCGAAGCAGCUAUGUACUCCGCUUCACAUGUAGAUCCCGCCACGACGCUUUGUUUAGAACUGCACCAACUGACAGCUCCACCAUUUAAUGUAAACACGUAUCCGGUUUGCGAUUUAGAAUCGUCCGGAUCAGUGUCAAAGCUUGCAUCAACGUAACCGUUUACGAUGAGCUCUUUGUCACCUCCAUAUACGAGAAACAUAUCCUUAGUCCUUUUCAGGUAUUUCAGGUUGUUCUUGACCACUGUCCAGUGAUCCACUCCUGGAUUACUUUGGUACCUCCCUGCUAGACUUAUAGCAAGGCACACAUCAGGUCUGGUACACAGUAUUGCAUACAUGAUAGAGCCUAUGGCUGAAGCAUAGGGAACAUCUUUCAUUUUCUCUCUAUCUUCUGCAGUGGUCGGGCAUUGAGUCUGACUCAACUUCACACCUUGUAACACAGGCAAGAACCCUUUCUUUGCUUGAUCCAUUUUGAACUUCUUCAAAAUCUUGUCAAGGUAUGUGCUUUGUGAAAGUCCAAUUAAGCGUCUUGAUCUAUCUCUAUAGAUCUUUAUGCCUAAUAUGUAAGCAGCUUCACUGAGGUCUUUCAUUGAAAAACUCUUAUUCAAGUAUCCCUUUAUGCUAUCCAGAAAUUGUAUAUCAUUUCCAAUCAGUAAUAUGUCAUCCACAUAUAAUAUCAGAAAUGCUACAGAGCUCCCACUCACUUUCUUGUAAAUACAGGCUUCUCCGAAAGUUUGUAUAAAACCAAAUGCAUUGAUCACACUAUCAAAGCGUUUAUUCCAACUCCGAGAGGCUUGCACCAGUCCAUAAAUGGAUCGCUGGAGCUUGCACACUUUGUUAGCUCCCUUUGGAUCGACAAAACCUUCCGGUUGCAUCAUAUACAACUCUUUUUCCAGAAAUCCAUUCAGGAAUGCAGUUUUGACAUCCAUCUGCCAAAUUUCAUAAUCAUAAAAUGCAGCAAUUGCUAACAUGAUUCAGACAGACUUAAGCAUCGCUACGGGUGAGAAGGUCUCAUCGUAGUCAACCCCUUGAACUUGUCGAAAACCUUUUGCGACAAGUCAAGCUUUGUAGACAGUAAUAUUACCGUCAGUGUCAGUCUUCUUCUUGAAGAUCCAUUUAUUCUCAAUUGCUUGCCGAUCAUCGGGCAAGUCAACCAAAGUCCAUACUUUGUUCUCAUACAUGGAUCCCAUCUCAGAUUUCAUGGCUUCAAGCCAUUUUGCUGAAUCUGGGCUCACCAUCGCUUCUUCAUAGUUCGUAGGUUCAUCAUGAUCUAGCAGCACGAUUUCCAGAACAGGAUUACCGUACCACUCUGGCGCGGAUCUCACUCUGGUUGAUCUACAAGGUUCAGUAGUAUCUUGUCCUGAAGUUUCAUGAUUAUUAUCAUUAGCUUCCUCACUUAUUAGUGUAGGUGUUGCAGAAACAGUUUUCUAUGAUGUACUACUUUCCAAUAAGGGAGCGGGUACAGUUACCUCAUCAAGUUCUACUUUCCUCCCACUCACAUCUUUCGAGAGAAACUCCUUCUCCAGAAAGUUUCCGAAUUUAGCAACAAAAGUCUUGCCUUCGGAUCUGUGAUAGAAGGUGUAUCCAAUAGUUUCCUUUGGAUAUCCUAUGAAGACACAUUUCUCCAAUUUGGGUUCGAGCUUAUCAGGUUGAAGCUUUUUCACAUAAGCAUCGCAGCCCCAAACUUUCAGAAACGACAACUUUGGUUUCUUGCCAAACCAUAGUUCAUAAGGUGUCGUCUCAACGGAUUUCGAUGGUGCCCUAUUUAACGUGAAUGCAGCCGUCUCUAAAGCAUAACCCCAAAACGAUAGCGGUAAAUCAGUAAGAGACAUCAUAGAUCGCACCAUAUCUAGUAAAGUACGAUUACGACGUUCGAACACACCAUUACGUUGUGGUGUUCCGGGUGGCGUGAGUUGCGGAACUAUUCCGCAUUGUUUCAAAUGUACACCAAACUCAUAACUCAAAUAUUCUCCUCCACGAUCAGAUCGUAGAAACUUUAUUUUCUUGUUAUGAUGAUUUUCAACUUCACUCUGAAAUUCUUUGAACUUUUCAAAUGUUUCAGACUUAUGUUUCAUUAAGUAGAUAUACCCAUAUCUGCUUAAGUCAUUUAUGAAGGUGAGAAAAUAAUGAUAUCCGCCACGAGCCUCAAUAUUCAUCGGACCACAUACAUCUGUAUGUAUGAUUUCUAACAAAUCUGUUGCUCUCUCCAUAGUACCGGAGAACGGUGUUUUAGUCAUCUUGCCCAUGAGGCACGGUUCGCAAGUACCAAGUGAUUCAUAAUCAAGUGGCUCCAAAAGUCCAUCAGUAUGGAGUUUCUUCAUGCGCUUUACACCGAUAUGACCUAAACGGCAGUGCCACAAAUAAGUUGCACCAUCAUUAUCAACUCUGCAUCUUUUGGCUUCAACAUUAUGAAUAUGUGUAUCACUACUAUCGAGACUCAAUAAGAAUAGACCACUCUUCAAGGGUGCAUGACCAAAAAAGAUAUUACUCAUAUAAAUAGAACAACCAUUAUUCUCUGAUUUAAAUGAAUAACCGUCUCGCAUUAAACAAGAUCCAGAUAUAAUGUUCAUGCUCAACGCUGGCACCAAAUAACAAUUAUUUAGGUCUAAUACUAAUCUCGAAGGUAGAUGUAGAGGUAGCGUGCCGACCGCGAUCACAUCGACUUUGGAACCGUUUCCCACGCGCAUCGUCACCUCGUCCAAUCUUCGCUUAAUCCGUAGUCCCUGUUUCGAGUUGCAAAUAUUAGCAACAGAACCAGUAUCAAAUACCCAGGUGCUACUGCGAGUAUUAGUAAGGUACACAUCAAUAACAUGUAUAUCACAUAUACCUUUGUUCACCUUGCCAUCCUUCUUAUCCGCCAAAUACUUGGGGCAGUUCCGCUUCCAGUGACCAGUCUGCUUGCAGUAGAAGCACUCAGUUUUAGGCUUAGGUCCAGACUUGGUUUCUUCUCUUGAGCAGCAACUUGCUUGCUGUUCUUUUUGAAGUUCCCCUUCUUCUUCCCUUUGCCCUUUUUCUUGAAACUAGUGGUCUUGUUGACCAUCAACACUUGAUGCUCCUUCUUGAUUUCUACCUCGGCAGCUUUUAGCAUUGUGAAGAGCUCGGGAAUAGUCUUAUUCAUCCUGUCGUGGAUUUGUCACGGCAGAUGUCCUAGCGAAAGGACUUAGUCGUGGAGCCAUCGCUACAAGUUUACUUGAAGGGGUUAAAGCGGACACAAAGACACGAGGAUUUUAUACUAGUUCGGCCCCUUCGAUGAAGGUAAAAGCCUACGUCUAGUUGUGAUGGAAUUGAUAUGAUCUCGAUGGCUAGGGAGCAAACAAGCUUCGCCUAGGCUCGAGUUGUGGUUGUCUGUCCUGAACCGCCACCGGGUCGUCCCCUUAUAUACACGGGUGACGCCCGUCGGUCCAUAGAGUCCUAACCGGUUCAUACUCGUAUUCCGGUUGGUAUCUCUCUAUUCCUUACUUACAAUACAAAUCAUACAUCAGGCCGGUUUACGGCUACAUGUUCUAACCGACUACAGGCCUUGGGCCUUCAUCUGUUUACGCCACUAAUGAAGUUAACCCGGCCCAAGUAGGCCGGUUUACGCCUAGUGGUAAUAUCCCCAACAUUAGGCCCCAGAUUGAUUUGAACUGGUUCAUGUCAAUCCUUCACACCAUCUUGUGUCUUGGAUAUCUUCUAUUAAUUGGCAAAUCUCCAUGUCGUCAUUAUUUUUGGUUGCUGUAAAUCGGCAUGACGUCAUCAAUUUUGGUUACUGUAAACCGGCAUGACGUCAUCGCGAAAUUCUUAACGCCCUCUUAAUGACAGUUCCUGGAUUCGCGCGUUUGACCUAGCUCGGUUGCCUUAUAAAUAAGACCGAAGGGUCAUUUCCUUUUUCUUCCCUUCGUCCCUUCUUAUUCUUCUUCUUCCUCACGUCGCCGGCUUUGGAGCUCCGCCACCACCGUCGAUCUCUGCCUCGUCUCGGGCCGCUGCAUCAACCUGAACAUACCAGAGUGUUGCGGCGUCUUUCCGCAUCUUCUCCGUUCCCGGUAAGUUCUCUCUCCUCUUCUUAACCUAGAUCCGUUCUUAGGGUUCCGUGUUCAUGCUGUGUUCAUCACGCGCUCAUAUCUGUUCUCUGAUCUUGAAUGAAUACGCGAACUCUUGCUGUGUUUAGUAGCGAUCCCUAAGCAUCCGCUUGCAACUUCUCAUCUAAUCCCAUAGAUCUCCCGCACAUAUCCGCUCAAUGGUUCACUUCUGUUUCCGCCUUACUCUUCGAAAUAUUUCCUGUUUUUGUGAGCUUGCUGUAGAUCCGCGGUUGUAACACGAUUUUGUGAAAUUUGUUUCUGCAUAACUAGUUAUCCAUAGCUUCAAUUGCUUCCGAUGCUUAGGCCAGGCGGUUUAACUUCACCAUAGGGAAAAAAUUGCUAAACCGGUAUAUAUGUCAUUAGUCCCCCGGUUGAACCGCCAGAAUCCAUCUGAUGCCGCGUUGUAGAAGACCGGUUUAUGGGUACUGCCUCCGGUUUACUGUAAUUAGAUCAACACCUUUUUAUCCGGCAUGUCCUUGAACCGGAUCACCUAUUUCUUGUAGAUCUCAUCAUGGCCAAACAAGUGUACGAGUGCAACUGGGUUCCCUCCCGUGUCACAGAAUCACAGCUGGACGAUCUAGUCCUGAUCGGCGCUUUGGAUAGCAAAGAUACGAUUCACUGGAGGGUUCCUGGAGAUGAAUGCCCUCCCAUGCCCCAGGAAGGAGAGGUCGUGGUCUUCGCAGAUCAUAUGGCCCGGGGCUUCAAACCGCCCGGCUCUAAAUUUUAUCGGGAUGUGUUAGCCAACUUUCAACUCCGUCCACAGGAUAUUGGCCCCAACUCCGUCACCAAUCUAUGCCACUUUCAAGUACUUUCUGAGGCAUACCUUCAAGAGGAACCUUCAGUCGAGUUAUUUAGAGAUCUCUUUCAUCUGAAUCGCCGUACUGAAUUCACUGACGGCCCUAAUACCGAACUGGGCGGUAUGGCCAUUCAGAAAAGGAAAGAAGUCACCUAUCCCCACGUCAAACUCCAUACUCACCCCAAGGAGUGGAACGCAACUUGGUUUUAUUGCAAGGAUACCUCCCCUGACAAUAAAAAUCCCUUGCCUGGCUUCCGUCCGGAACGGCUCAGCAACACUCACCCUUUUCCACAAAGGCUAAGCGCCAAGGAGAGAAUUAAAUAUUCUCCUCAACUGUCCAAGCUCCGGGCCUUCAUGGCCAAUGGUUUAACAGGAAUAGACCUUGCACGCUGCUGGAUAUCAUGGAGCAUUUUGCCUCUAAGCCGGCGCUCCAAUUUGAUGUGCAAGUAUACUGAUAGUGUCGAUGACCCACUCCGACACACUAAAAUCCAACUCCGUGAUGACGAAGUCACAGAAUCUGUGAAAAAGAUGUUGAAUGAACCGGAGCACCUCUGUGCUCAAACCGGUCUGCCUCCUUAUUGCUCCUCCAACAAACCGCCAGCGGUAAUAUUUUAAUUGCCCUAUUGUUGAACCGGUUACUGCUUUAUAUGUUUAACAUUUAAUUACUGUUGAUCCAGGACGAUAAUCCGUUUUGGAGCAAGAAACUUCCUCAAGACAAAACGGAGAAGGCAGGACGUCCAACCCGGCCAAAGACCAAGGUUAUCAAGAAACCAGCUCAUAAGAGAAAAACCACCGCUUCAUCUGACCCAGCCAUUGAUGAUGAUGUGGGUAAUCCGGAUCUUGAGGUAGAACUUGAUUCACUUGGCUUGCUUUUUACACGCCUUAUUGAUGAUAAUGCUUGUCAGGAUGACGCUGAAGCCAGCAAUGCGGGUUUUGUUGAGGUAACCAUUCUCUCUUCCGAUUCAGAAAUCUUGCCUUUGCCAAAAUUUCGUCGGGCAAACCGGAAAGUUAAAUUUUCUCAUCCUCUUGCUUAUCUGAAUUCCCAAUUUCUUAUGAAGACCCAGCAACACGAAGCUCACCGCACAACCCGGCACAGUGGCCAGGUAGUUACCUCUGCCGGUUUACCAAACAGUCCGGUUUGAAAACGCCGCUCCGAGGUCUCCGACCUUUUUAUUGAUUUAAAUCGCAAAGCGGGUUUCUUCCGUCAACCUCUUAAUCCAUCUGACUCCAAUUAUCAGGUCACUUCUCAUUCAUCUUCUGGUGAAUCGUCAGCCACUCAGCUACCACCUUUGAAAACAGUUGUCGGGUAAGUUAAACUGAACAUAUGCUUCCAGUAUACCGCAUAAUGGCUUACGCUUUUCCUUGACUUUUUGUUUUUCCUUCAGGGCUAAACCGAAACCAAGCAAGAAGGCCCGCCUGGAUAAAGCGGCUGAAGAAGAUGUAGCCCCAGAACAUGACCAAGCGCCAGAUCAUGAAAUGUUUACUUCUGAAGAUAUCCCCAAUGAUCCUCCUUUGCAAGACGACGUUAUUCCCGAAGAAGGGCUUGUUAAUACUCCAGCCUCUGCCGAUCCGCCUACCAGCUCCAUAGAGAAAUCCCACACUCCUGCUGACCAAACGGCCGCACCAACACAAACUGGCGAGUCCAAAGAUGAUGAUGUUGUGAUUACCGGUGUGGGCCGCUCUGAACCCGGAAAUCCUAACACCCUUACCAAGCAUACCAUCAAGGAGGAUUUUUCCGCUUUGAACAAAGGAAAAUGGGAUGUUGAACUAGAGACAUAUGCCGCUCUGAGUGCCCAAGAUCUUUACUCCGGUUAUUUAAACCGGCUUUACACUAGCCGUGACUGCGACGCUGGCCUGGUCAAAAUGAUGAAGGAUAAAUUUGAGGUAACUUACUUCUUCCCUUGCUGCCGUUACCUUCAUCCUUCUAGCCCCCAAGGGCCGGUUUGUAACGUUGGCCAAACCGGGACUUGAUCCGGAACAUUCUUGAACACCGAUCGGUAUAGCCCGCAAGAACCGGUCUAACUUAGUAUAAGUAAACCGGGGCUCCAAUAGAGAACUGUCCUUAGAACAUAAUUUGAUCAAAUAGCCAUUAGCCCCCAAGUGCCAAGUUGAAUACUUGUAUUAAGCUUGGGACUUUGUGAUCAAAUAAUAUAUAAAAAUUGAAGGUGCAUUAGCCCCCAAGUGUCAGGCAUAUAACUUUGUUAUGUGGUUGAAACUUCAACUCCUUGGAUCGCCUGUGCAAAGCUUAAACGCUGUCUAUGUGCAGGCUGAGGUGAAAAUCAAGGAGGACCGAGUUGCCAAUUUACAGGAGGCCUUGAAAACCCAGCAGGCUGAAACAGAUAAGGUAAAGCAAGAAUUAACCAGCGCUUUGAGCACUGCUGAACGGCUGAAAGAAAGCUUCAAGAAAGAGCGGGCUAACUGGGCCACUGAGAAGGCCGGUUUAACCAAAAGAGCGGAAAAUGCUGAAGCGGCCCUUAAACCGGUGGUGGAUGAACUGACGGCCGUACAGCGGAAAAUACACUCCAUGACUGCUGCAACCUUUGGUAAGCUCCUUGUAACUUCUGUGAUAAAUUUGAAUCUGUUGUAUCGUAAAUCCGGUUUGAGACCAUUCCAAUCUUGUUGUAGGCACACGUAUUGGGCACUUAGGAAAUGAUGUGCGGAAGAAAUUGAAAGCUGCCUACACCUUGGUGGAACAAUUGUAUACCGAAGCCCAACGGAUCAUCACCUCAGCUUCUCACAACAACCCGGCGCCCUCUUUAAUCCAGGACACUCUUAGCAAGUUGUCAAUGCUUCCAGCACGGAUUGAGGAGCUGAAAAAAUCCGCUGCCCGAACCGGAGCCAUCAAUGCCUUAAUCCGGGCAAAGGCAUGGGUGCCCGACUUUGAUCCUGUAGAAGCGGCUCAAGGCUAUCCCAGUCUGAAAGAAGAUGGCUCUGAAUUCAACGAAGAAGAUUUAAGGGCCAUAAACCGUGCAGUGCGCCCGCUGGCUUGCCAGCUAGCUGAAGAGGCAGAUUUGACGCAUUAUCAAGCGCAAUAUAAUAAUCAAAACAAGCGAGUGCCUGCCCCAACUGUUGAAGCGGAGAAUCUGAUUCCUCCAAUCCGUAAGCACACUUACGCCCCUGAUAUUGAACCAUCUUCCCUGAUCCAUGAAGAGGCUGUUUUCCAAGCUUUAAUGGGAAUCGACUGGACCACUGUUGAUUUCCAGCCAAUGGGUAGAGACGAGGAAGCUGAAGCGGCGGAGGAUGAGGAGCAGGCUUGAACCGGAAGCCGGUUUGAAGAGCUAUUUGCAACAUCCUUCCAAAAAAACAAUGAUUUUGUUUGAGCACCAUGCUGCCUUGUAAUAGGAUAGUUAAAACUUCUGCCUGGCAUAUGCCUUCGUGCAUAAGUACUGAAGCUUUUGCUUGAAAAACUUUAAUUUAUAUUUCCUGCAAUCAGAAAAAUUUGAACUUCGGUGGCGGUUAUACCGUCAGCCGGAUUAUGAUCUUGAUGUGUGUAUUAGUAAUAUAACAAAUAGAUGAUACAUAAAUACCUGCCAUGUUUGAGCAUAAAGCUGGCUUUAGCCAAGCCUGAAGCGGUGGUUUUAUAAACCAUUACCGUCAAAAAGGGAGAAAAUAGCUCCCAUACAAACCGUACUGACUUAACAUGAGCCCCCUGGUUACUCCAUGAUGUUAACAGGGAAAAGGUAAACCAGGCAGACUCCUCCCGUUUUAAAGGGGAAUCAAAAAUCAUUGGCUAAACCGGAAAAAAUAUGCUUGUUGAUAUAAAAGAAAUCCAACAAAGAAUGAACAAACCAUGAAAACAACAUGGAAGCAAAGGCAAUGAUAAAAAACCAUUUGCAAAAAUAUGCUAUACUGAGUUGUUCAGAUGGUAUUACCAUGGUCGGACAGGAUCAAGGCCCCCAAUAGGAGUGACAAUGAUUCAAGUCAGCCAGGUCCCCAAAUGACUCGUGGCAUAUAUGCCAGAUCAAGAGGCGUGACAAUGGUUCGGGUUCGACCAUGCCCCCAAGUGAUUUUGUGGCCUUAGGCCGACCAAGAGGCGUGACUGGUUCAGACUUGACCAUGUCCCCAAAUGAUCUGGUGGCUGUCGCCUAUCAAAGGGUGUUCGUUGGUUCGGACACGACCAAGGCCCCCAGUGAUAUAUAAAAAACAAAUGUCAAGGGGUAAACCGGAGGCUGCUUUAAACAGAACCACUCCGUGUAACCUCGCAUGAUGAGAAAGACAGAGACCCCGCUUUAGCUGAGGCUCCGGUUUGAUAUAUCAAAGAUAAUAUAUACAUUGUCAUGAUAUGUACAUAGAUAGAGCCGAUGGCUCAAGUAUAGUAAGGCCGAAGAUGAGCUAUAUUCCACGGCCUGUUGGUCUCCUCCUCUGAUGUACGUGAGUCUUGAUGCCCUCGAAUAUCAAUCAGAUAGUACGACCCGUUGUGCAAAUUUUUGCUGACCACGAAAGGUCCCUCCCAAGGUGGGGAUAACUUGUGCAUAUCCGUUUGAUCUUGGAUGAGUCGAAGCACCAAAUCUCCUUCUUGAAAAGUUCUGGUUCUAACCCGGCGACUGUGAUAGCGACGAAGAUCUUGCUGGUAAAUCGCCGAACGGGCAGCCGCUAUAUCACGCUCCUCGUCCAAUAGGUCCAAAGCGUCUUGCCGUGCUGUCUCAUUGUCUGCUUCAACAUAGGCUGCCACACGAGGCGAAUCAUGCCGGAUGUCACUAGGGAGAACUGCCUCUGCUCCAUAGACCAUGAAAAAUGGCGUAUAUCCUGUGGACCGGUUUGGCGUAGUAUUGAUACUCCAUAACACAGAUGGUAGCUCUUCAACCCAACAUCCUGGUGUUCUUUGCAACGGGACCAAAAGCCGGGGUUUGAUGCCUCGCAAGAUUUCCUGAUUAGCUCGUUCUGCCUGUCCGUUGGACUGGGGGUGCGCCACUGACGACACAUCAAGUCGGAUGUGCUCACGUUCACAGAACUCCUUCAUAGCACCCUUGGAUAAAUUGGUACCAUUGUCAGUAAUGAUACUGUGUGGAAAACCAAACCGGAAAAUCAUCUUCUUGAUGAACUGCACCGCUGUUGCUGCAUCACACUUGCUGACAGGCUCCGCUUCAACCCACUUGGUAAAUUUGUCAACUGCCACCAAAAGGUGGGUUUUCUUAUCCUUGGAUCUUUUAAAAGGCCCAACCAUAUCCAGCCCCCAAGUUGCAAACGGCCAUGUUAUUGGGAUCAUCCUCAAUUCUUGAGCCGGCACAUGAGCACGCCUUGAAAAUUUCUGACAUCCAUCACACCGUUUAACCAAGUCCUCCGCAUCAGCAUACGCUGUCAACCAGUAGAACCCGUGACGAAACGCCUUUGCCACCAGAGACUUUGAACCGGCGUGGUGCCCACAAUCCCCUUCAUGGAUUUCUCUUAAGAUUUCAUAGCCUUCCUUAGGAGAAACACAACGUUGAAACGCCCCUGAUACACUGCAAUGAUGUAAUUCACCAUUGACAAUCGUCAUAGAUUUGGAUCGCCGGACUAUCUGCCUGGCCAGAAUCUCAUCCUCUGGUAACUCCCCCCGGUUCAUGUACGCAAGAUAAGGAACUGUCCAAUCCGGAAUAACAUGCAGGGCUGCCACCAACUGAGCAUCCGAAUCAGGGAUAGCCAAAUCCACCUCACCUGGGAGCUUGACUGACGGGUUGUGCAACACGUCCAAAAAGACGUUAGGCGGGACCGGUUUACGCUGAGAGCCCAACCGACUUAAAGCAUCCGCUACUUCAUUCUUCCGACGGUCCACAUGAUCCACUUGAUAACCCUUGAAAUAACCUGCAAUAUUAUCCACUUCCCGGCGAUAUGCAGCCAUGAGCGGGUCUUUAGAAUCCCAAGUGCCAGACACCUGUUGAGCCACUAGGUCCGAGUCACCAAAGCACUUAACCCGGCUUAAAUUCAUCUCUUUAGCCAUCCGGAGACCAUGGAGCAAGGCUUCGUACUCAGCUGCAUUAUUAGUACAAGGAAACAUUAAGCAGAGAACAUAGCAAAACUUAUCACCUCGUGGGGAAGUUAAUACGACCCCAGCCCCCGAGCCUUCCAAUUGCCUGGAUCCGUCAAAAUGAAUAGUCCAAUAUGUGUGAUCCGGCUUCUCCUCUGGUGCUUGUAACUCCGUCCAAUCAUUGAUGAAAUCAACAAGUGCUUGAGACUUCACUGCCGUCCGAGGCACGUACUUCAGUCCGUGUGGCCCAAGCUCUAUAGCCCACUUGGCAAUCCGGCCAGUCGUCUCCCGAUUCUGUAUAAUAUAACCCAAGGGAGCUGAACUGACCACUGUGAUGGGGUGCCCUUGAAAAUACUGCUUCAACUUCCGACUGGCCAUAAAAACACCAUAGACCAGCUUCUGCCAAUGCGGAUACCUUUGCUUGGAUUCAAUAAGCACCUCGCUGAUAUAAUAAACCGGCCGCUGAACCGGAUAUUCCUUGCCUGCCUCUUUGCGCUCCACCACAAUAGCCACGCUAACUGCCCGAGCAUUGGCCGCUACGUAUAAUAAUAGUGGCUCCUUGUCGAUCGGAGCUGCAAGAACAGGCGGAUUGGCUAACUGCCGCUUCAGGUCCUCAAAUGCCUCAUCAGCAGCUGGACUCCAGACGAAAUUGUCUGUCUUCCUCAGCAUUUGGUACAAAGGGAUAGCCUUCUCCCCGAGGCGGCUGAUAAACUGGCUCAGCGCAGCGAUUCGGCCCGCCAAACGCUGGACAUCGUUGAUACACUUCGGUUUAGCUAGGGAUGUAAUAGCCGUAAUCUUCUCCGGAUUAGCCUCAAUUCCUCUGUUAGACACCAGGAAACCCAGUAACUUGCCUGCCGAAACACCAAAAACACACUUGGCCGGAUUAAGCAUCAUCCUGUAAGCUCGCAAGUUGUCAAAGGUCUCCUUCAAAUCAUCCACCAGCGUCUCCUUCUGUCUUGAUUUUACUACAAUAUCAUCCACAUAGGCGUGCACAUUGCGGCUGAUCUGCUCAUGCAGGCAAUUCUGUACACACCGUUGAUAGGUGGCUUGGGCACUCUUGAGCCCGAAGGGCAUAGAUACAUAGCAGAAGGCUCCAAAGGGAGUAAUAAAUGCCGUUUUUUCCUGGUCCUUAACCGCCAUCUUAAUAUGAUGAUAUCCAGAGUAUGCAUCCAAAAAACUCAAACGCUCACACCCCGCCGUGGCAUCAAUGAUCUGGUCAAUACGGGGGAGGGCAAAAGGAUCUGCCGGACAGUCUUUGUUAAGAUCUGUGUAAUCCACACACAUACGCCAAGUGCCGUUUUUCUUAAGAACCAGCACCGGAUUGGCAAGCCACUCUGGAUGGACCACCUCAAUAAUAAAACCAGCUGCUAAAAGCCUGGCCACUUCCUCUCCAAUGGCUUUGCGUCUUUCUUCGUUAAACCGGCGGAGGAACUGUUUCACCGGUUUAUACUUAGGAUCCACAUUAAGAGUGUGCUCAGCGAGUUCCCUCGGUACACCUGGCAUGUCAGACGGCUUCCAUGCAAAAAUGUCCCGAUUCUCACGGAUGAACUCGAUGAGCGCGCUUUCCUAUUUGGGAUCUAGGUUGGCACUGAUAGUGAACUGCUUGGACGAAUCGCCGGGCACGAAGUCAACAAGCUUGGUCUCAGCUGCCGAUUUGAACUUCAGAUCUGAAUCAUGCUCUGUAGUUGGCUUCUUUAAAGGGGUCAUAUCCGCCGGAUCAACAUUGUCCUUAUAAUACUUCAACUCCUCCGUGGCACAGACUGACUCUGCAUAAGCCGCAUCACCCUCUUGACAUUCCAAAGCGAUCCUACGGUUCUCGUGAACCGUUAUCGUCCCCUUGUAACCCGGCAUCUUGAGCUGUAAGUAGAUAUAACAAGGCCGUGCCAUGAACUUGGCAUAAGCCGGCCGCCCAAACAAGGCGUGAUACGGGCUCCGGAUCUUCACCACUUCGAAGUUUAAUUUUUCCGACCGAGAAUCGUGCUCGUCCCCAAAAGCCACAUCUAGGGCUAUCUUACCAACAGGAUAUGCAGAUUUGCCUGGCACAACACCAUGGAAUACUGUAUUCGACGGUCUGAGAUCCUUGUCUGUCAGUCCCAUGCGCCGGAAUGUCUCAUAGUAUAGUAUGUUAAUACUGCUUCCUCCAUCCAUGAGUACCUUGGUGAAUUUAUAACCCCCCACCUGAGGGUCUACCACUAAUGCUAGCUGGCCCGGAUUAUCAACCUGGGGCGGGUGAUCCUCUCUGCUCCACACGAUAGACUGCUCCGACCAGCGCAAGUAACGUGGUAAGGCCGGUUCAACAGAAUUCACCGCUCGCCUGUGGAGUUUUUGGUCGCGCUUAUCCAAGCCAGUUGUGAAGACAUGGUAUUGCCCAUUGCUCAACUGCUUUGGCUGGCUCUGAUAACCUGACUGCUGCUGCUGCUGGCCGUUCUGAUUAUUCUGGCUAUUUGUGACUGCCCUGAUUGAAACCUGAACCGGAAGCUCCAUCGUGACCCGGACCGUGUAAACCGGAUCCUGAACCGCCACCUGACCCAUGGUCAUACCGGAAGGCAUUAGAGUUUUUAAACUCCCGCGUAAUAUAACAAUCCUUCCAAAGGUGGUUAGCCGGUGUCUCCUUCGUCCCAUGCUUUGGGCAAGGCUGAUUUAACAAAUGAUUCAAACGGCUUGCAUUAGGAUUGGGGGCCCCAUUAUGAUCUGCCGCCUUACCUCUGCGCCGCUGCCCCCUGUCCUGUGCAUUAGCGUUGGCCACAAAAUCCAUGCUACCCUCCGCCUUGCGUUUGCCUCCGUUUCCAUGACCCGUCGGUUUGUACUGCUGCUGUUUAGAGUUGCUAUUCUUCCUUCCCUUCCCUGUUUCAUCAUCAUCAGGUUCGGGAUCCUUGGUACUGUCUGAAUCGGCAUACUUUACUAAAGCAGCCAUGAGGGUUCCCAUGUCAUUACAGAACCGCUUCAUGCGUCCCAAUUUCAAUUUUAGAGGCUCAAACCGGCAGUUGCCUUCCAGAGUUAAGAUCACAGAGUCAGCAUUAAUCCUGUCCGAUGAGUGCAAAAUUUCCGAAACGCGGCGCACCCAACAGGUCGUUGAUUCUCCUUCCUCCUGGACACAAGCCACCAGGUCUACUAUGGACUUGGGCUGCAUACAUGUAUCCAUAAAAUUCUGUAUAAAUCGGGCCCGCAACUGGGCCCAUGAGCUGAUAGAAUUGGGUGGCAGGCUCUUUAACCAAGUACGAGCCGUGCCCUCAAGCAUCAUGGUGAAGUAUUUUGCACAUGCGGCCUCAUCCACGUCCAGCAUCUCCAUGGCCAUCUCAUAACUCUCUACCCAUGCUUCAGGGGGUAAAUCAGCGGUGUAAUUCGGCACCUUGCGUGGACCCUUGAAAUCUUUGGGCAGGCGCACAUUACGUAAAGCUGGGAUUAAGCAAGGCACUCCCAAAGCGGAUGUGAUCCCUGGUCCGGCAAAGGUUGUAGAACGAACCGGUGUAAGUUGGCCCGCAUUAUCCUGUGCUGCUAACUCGGCCUCCCUUUGUGCCCGGGCCCGGUCCACCACAUCCUGAGCAUCUCCAACACCACCUGCCGGGUCAUGACCACGGGCCGCUUCACGGCCUCGCGCAUUGCUUGAUAUGGUCGGUUCCUCCACGCGCCUGCUAUAGCUCCAGCUCGGCCGGGGCAUAGAAUGAAUCCGAUCACGGCUGUAUGAGUAGGCCUCCUGCUGAAUCAGUGCAGUCCGGAGAAGCUCCUUAACCCGGCGCGUCUCUAUCGCUUGCGGAGAAUCCCCUUCGAAUGGGAUGGCCUCUAACCGUGCAGCGGCCGCAACAAGGUUGUCCAUAGGAUUCGAAUAAUGACUCGGGGGUGUCUGGACCGGCGGAGGAACCACAAUGUUUUGGUGAGGAGGUUCCAUCAGGCGAGGUUGGACCGUCGCCCCUGGCCCUGGUGCCUCAAUCCGGUUUGUCUCCGGGUACUGCGGCGGAUUACUGGGUCCAGCUCCUGGAGUGUGAAAGAGAUUUCGGGGGUCAAACUCUAACGGCAGGCGUGAUCUGUGCUUCCGCUUCAAAACCUCAUGUGAUGCAUUCUGGUCAAGCAUGAGCUUAUAGGCCUGGGCGUCCAAAGCGGCCCGCUCUGCCGCCAUCCUGUCCUUCUCUGCUGCCAGAUCCGCUUUGGCUCGCGCGGUCUGUUCUUUCACCUUUGCAAUUUCUACAUCAUGAGCCUCCUGAUCCGCCGGAUUGGCUUCCACCAUAAGCGCGGCCAGUGCGUCAAACAGGUCGGAUAGGACUUGAACCGGCGGGCGCAUAAGGCCUCCUGCCCCUGCUGCCGCUGCCGCUGCUGAUCCAGAGAGCACUGCUGCGGCGGUCGAAGAGUGGUUCGCCGCCUGGGUGCCGGCCAUGAAUAUUCCAACCCGGUUGACCGGGCCUGGGGGGUCCAGAAUACUGUCGCCAUCGGAACAGCCCCUAAUCUGGUCGUCUUGCAACUGGUAUAGCGAUUCGGUCUCUCCGGCUGAGGACUCGUCGCCGGAAUAGACAACGGUCUCGCUACCGUGUUCUGACUCGUCCUCACGCUCACCUUCGUGGACGACUCCAACGAAGACACGCUUCACGGCCGGUUUAACCCGGGUAGAUCUCGCACGCUGAGCCGUCUCGAUGAGGUUGGUGCAGAUGUCCGGCUCAGGCCCAGGCUCACCGAUUUUGCCAAUGAAAACAUGUAUGCCACCAAAGGGGACCCGGUACCCGUACUCGAUUGAAUCGGCCUCGGGACCCCAUCCUGCGUCGUUGAUGUAGAUCCUGCCCCGACGACUCUUGGUCAUCCGGCCCACAACAUAGCCUUCGAGUCCCUUGAGCUUGCCCUCCAAGAUCGUCAAACCAUCGUGCGAUAGCCCCACGGUGGGCGCCAACUGUCGUGGAUUUGUCAUGGCAGAUGUCCUAGCGAAAGGACUUAGUCGUGGAGCCAUCGCUACAAGUUUACUUGAAGGGGUUAAAGCGGACACAAAGACACGAGGAUUUUAUACUAGUUCGGCCCCUUCGAUGAAGGUAAAAGCCUACGUCUAGUUGUGAUGGAAUUGAUAUGAUCUUGAUGGCUAGGGAGCAAACAAGCUUCGCCUAGGCUCGAGUUGUGGUUGUCUGUCCUGAACCGCCACCGGGUCGUCCCCUUAUAUACACGGGUGACGCCCGUCGGUCCAUAGAGUCCUAACCGGUUCAUACUCGUAUUCCGGUUGGUAUCUCUCUAUUCCUUACUUACAAUACAAAUCAUACAUCAGGUCGGUUUACGGCUACAUGUUCUAACCGACUACAGGCCUUGGGCCUUCAUCUGUUUACGCCACUAAUGAAGUUAACCCGGCCCAAGUAGGCCGGUUUACGCCUAGUGGUAAUAUCCCCAACACAUCCCUUGCAUAUUAUAGUUCAUCACGAAGCUCUUGUAGCUUGGUGGCAGUGAUUGGAGAAUUCUGUCAAUGACGCAAUCAUCUGGAAGAUUAACUCCCAUCUGAAUCAAGUGAUUAUUAUACCCAGACAUUUUGAGUAUAUGCUCAUUGACAGAACUGUUCUCCUCCAUCUUGCAGCUAUAGAACUUAUUGGAGACUUCAUAUCUCUCAAUCCGGGCAUUUGCUUGAAAUAUUAACUUCAACUCCUGGAACAUCUCAUAUGCUCCAUGACGUUCAAAACGUCGUUGAAGUCCCGAUUCUAAGCCGUAAAGCAUGGCACACUGAACUAUCGAGUAGUCAUCAGCUUUGCUCUGCCAGAUGUUCAUAACAUCUGGUGUUGCUCCAGCAGCAGGCCUGGCACCCAGCGGUGCUUCCAGGACGUAAUUCUUCUGUGCAGCAAUGAGGAUAAUCCUCAAGUUACGGACCCAGUCCGUGUAAUUGCUACCAUCAUCUUUCAACUUUGCUUUCUCAAGGAAUGCAUUAAAAUUCAACGGAACAACAGCACGGGCCAUCUAUCUACAAUCAAACAUACAUAAGCAAGAUACUAUCAGGUACUAAGUUCAUGAUAAAUUUAAGUUCAAUUAAUCAAAUUACUUAAAGAACUCCCACUUAGAUAGACAUCCCUCUAAUCCUCUAAGUGAUCACGUGAUCCAAAUCAACUAAACCAUGUCUGAUCAUCACGUGAGAUGGAGUAGUUUCAUUGGUGAACAUCACUAUGUUGAUCAUAUCUACUAUAUGAUUCACGCUCGACCUUUCGGUAUCCGUGUUCCGAGGCCAUAUCUGUAUAUGCUUGGCUCGUCAAGUAUAACCUGAGUAUUCCGCGUGUGCAACUGUUUUGCACCCGUUGUAUUUGAACGUAGAGCCUAUCACACCCGAUCAUCACGUGGUGUCUCAGCACGAAGAACUUUCGCAACGGUGCAUACUCAGGGAGAACACUUCUUGAUAAUUUAGUGAGAGAUCAUCUUAUAAUGCUACCGUCAAUCAAAGCAAGAUAAGAUGCAUAAAAUAUAAACAUCACAUGCAAUCAAUAUAAGUGAUAUGAUAUGGCCAUCAUCAUCUUGUGCCUGUGAUAUCCAUCUCCGAAGCACCAUCAUGAUCACCAUCGUCAUCAGCGCGACACCUUGAUCUCCAUCGUAGCAUCGUUGUCGUCUCGCCAAUCUUAUGCUUCCAUGACUAUCGCUACCGCUUAGUGAUAAAGUAAAGCAUUACAGUGCGAUUGCAUUCCAUACAAUAAAGCGACAACCAUAUGGCUCCUACCAGUUGCCGAUAACUCGGUUACAAAACAUGAUCAUCUCAUACAAUAAAAUUCAGCAUCAUGUCUUGACCAUAUCACAUCACAACAUGCCCUGCAAAAACAAGUUAGACGUCCUCUACUUUGUUGUUGCAAGUUUUACGUGGCUGCUACGGGCUUAAGCAAGAACCAAUCUUACCUACGCAUCAAAACCACAACGAUAGUUUGUCAAGUUGGUGCUGUUUUAACCUUCGCAAGGACCGGGCGUAGCCACACUCGGUUCAACUAAAGUUGGAGAAACUGUCACCCGCAAGCCACCUAUGUGCAAAGCACGUCGGGAGAACCGGUCUCGCGUAAUCCUACGCGUAAUGUCGGUCCGGGCUGCUUCAUCCAACAAUACCGCCGAACCAAAGUAUGACAUGCUGAUAAGCAGUAUGACUUAUAUCGCCCACAACUCACUUGUGUUCUACUCGUGCAUAUAACAUCAACACAUAAAACCUAGGCUCGGAUGCCACUGUUGGGGAACGUAGUAAUUUCAAAAAUUUCCUACGCACACGCAAGAUCAUGGUGAUGCAUAGCAACGAGAGGGAAGAGUGUGAUCUACGUACCCUUGUAGAUCGAAAACGGAAGCGUUUGGUUGAUGUAGACGUACGUCUCCACGGCCCGACCGAUCAAGCACCGAAACUAUGGCACCUCCGAGUUUUAGCACACGUUCAGCUCGAUGACGAUCCCCGGACUCCGAUCCAGCAAAGUGUCAGGGAAGAGUUCCGUCAGCACGACGGCGUGGUGACGAUCUUGAUGUACUACUGUCGCAGGGCUUCGCCUUAGCACCGCUACAAUAUUAUCGAGGACUAUGGUGGCAGGGGGCGCCGCACACGGCUAAGAAUAUGAUCACGUGGAUCAACUUGUGUCUCUUGGGGUACCCCUGCCUCCGUAUAUAAAGGUUCAAGAGGGGGAGGCCGGCCGGCCACCAUAGGGCGCGCCAGGAGGAGUCCUACUCCCUCCGGGAGUAGGACUUCUCCCCCAAUCCUAGUUGGAAUAGGAUUCGCGAGGUGGGAACGGAGAGAGAGAGAGAGAAGGAAGGGGGCGCCGGCCCCCUCUCUCCUUGUCCUAUUCGGACUAGGGGGGAGGGGCGCGCGGCCCAGCCCUGGCUGCCUCUCCUCUUCUUCCACUAAGGCCCAUUAAGGCCCAUGUACCUCCCGGGGGGUUCCGGUAACCUCCCGGUACUCCGGUAAAAUCCCGAUUUCACCCGGAACACUUCCGAUAUCCAAACAUAGGCUUACAAUAUAUCAAUCUUUAUGUCUCGACCAUUUCGAGACUCCUCGUCAUGUCCGUGAUCACAUCCGAGACUCCGAACAACCUUCGGUACAUCAAAACGUAUAAACUCAUAAUAUAACUGUCAUCGAAACCUUAAGCGUGCGGACCCUACGGGUUCGAGAACAAUGUAGACAUGACCGAGACAUGUCUCCGGUCAAUAACCAAUAGCGGGACCUGGAUGCCCAUAUUGGCUCCUACAUAUUCUAUGAAGAUCUUUAUCGGUCAGACCGCAUAACAACAUACGUUGUUCCCUUUGUCAUCGGUAUGUUACUUGCCCGAGAUUCGAUCGUCGGUAUCCAAUACCUAGUUCAAUCUUGUUACCGACAAGUCUCUUUAGUCGUUCCGUAAUACAUCAUCUCGCAACUAACUCAUUAGUUGCAUCGCUUGCAAGGCUUAAGUGAUGUGCAUUACCGAGAGGGCCCAGAGAUACCUCUCCGACGAUCGGAGUGACAAAUCCUAAUCUCGAAAUAUGUCAACCCAACAUGUACCUUUGGAGACACCUGUAGAGCACCUUUAUAAUCACCCAGUUACGUUGUGACGUUUGGUAGCACACAAAGUGUUCCUCCGGCACACGGGAGUUACAUAAUCUCAUAGUCAUAGGAACAUGUAUAAGUCAUGAAGAAAGCAAUAGCAACAUACUAAACGAUCGGGUGCUAAGCUAAUGGAAUGGGUCAUGUCAAUCAGAUCAUUCAACUAAUGAUGUGAUCCCGUUAAUCAAAUGACAACUCUUUGUCCAUGGUUAAGAAACUUAACCAUCUUUGAUUGACGAGCUAGUCAAGUAGAGGCAUACUAGUGACACUCUGUUUGUCUAUGUAUUCACACAUGUAUUAUGUUUCCGGUUAAUACAAUUCUAGCAUGAAUAAUAGACUUUUAUCAUGAUAUAAGGAAAUAAAUAAUAACUUUAUUAUUGCCUCUAGGGCAUAUUUCCUUCAAGUGAGGGAGGAUGAGAGGGGGACGUGGGGGUCGCGUGGCAUCCCUGGACGUCUCCAUGCGUCGGCAGAAGUAGGAGGUGGCCGGCGUGUGGCCGCGGGCGCCGGCCACGCGCUCCGCGUCCUUCUGGCGCGAGGAGGACGACGACUGGCAGCGCCAGUAGGCUGGGCCGAGCCAGGUGGGCUGGCCAGCACAGGUAAGGCCCAGGUGGGCUUCCCUCUCUCUUUUCUUUCUGUUUGUUUUCUUUUUUCUAUUUAACUGCAACUGUUGGGCUUUAUUAAAAAUACUAAAACGUUUCCAAAAAUUCUGAAAAUAAAUGUGAGCUCUGUUUAGAAUAUUUCCAACGGGAAACAUUUAUUCCCAGAAUUAUUUGAGCAUUUAAAUUAUUUUAUAUUAUUUAAAUGCCCAAAUUCAAAUACUUAUGAUUUAAUUCAAUGACCUUCUGUUGACCUAAAAAAUUGUGCAUCAAUUUUGCCAGAGGUUUUAACCCAAGACAAAGAGGGUAAACUUUUUAGAAGGGCAUUUCAGGUUCAUUGAAAAUAAUUUUAGUAAACCCUAGUUGUUUCCAGGGGGUGCUGGGGGUUCUGUCUUCCCCAUUUCAAAUUUAGUAGGAAAUUAAACAUGAUGCACACUUUAAUGCUUGAACUAAACUAGGGUGUGACAGCCAUCGUCAUCACCAACGCUCCUCUCAUCGGGAGAGGGCAAUCUCCAUCAACAUCUUCAUCAGCACCAUCUCCUCUCAAAACCCUAGUUCAUCUCUUGUAUCCAAUUCUUGUCUCCAAGUCCGGGAUUGGUACUAGUAGGUUGCUAGUAGUGUUAAUUACUCCUUGUAGUUGAUGCUAGUUGGUUUAUUUGGUGGAAGAUCAUAUGUUCAAAUCCUAUAUGCAUAUUAAUACCCCUCUGAUUAUGAACAAGAAUAUGCUUUGUGAGUAGUUACGUUUGUUCCUGAGGACAUGGGAGAAGUCUUGCUAUUAGUAGUCAUGUGAAUUUGGUAUUCGUUCGAUAUUUUGAUGAGAUGUAUGUUGUCUCUCCUCUAGUGGUGUUAUGUGAACGUCGACUACAUAACACUUCACCAUUAUUUGGGCCCAGAGGAAGGCAUUGGGAAGUAAUAAGUAGAUGAUGGGUUGCUAGAGUGACAGAAGCUUAAACCCUAGUUUAUGCGUUGUUUCGUAAGGGGCUGAUUUGGAUCCAUAUGUUUCAUGCUAUGGUUAGGUUUACCUUAAUACUUUUGUUGUAGUUGCGGAUGCUUGCAAUAGAGGUUAAUCAUAAGUGGGAUGCUUGUCCAAGUAAGGACAGUACCCAAGCACCGGUCCAUCCACAUACCAAAUUAUCAAAGUACCAAACGCGAAUCAUAUGAACGUGAUGAAAACUAGUUUGGCGAUAUUCGCAUGUGUCCUCGGGAGCGCUUUUCUCUAUAUAAGAGUUUGUCCAGGCUUGUCCUUUGCUACAAAAAGGAUUGGGCCACCUUGCUGCACUUUAUUUACUUUUGUUACUUGUUGCUCGUUACAAAUUAUCCUAUCACAAAACUAUCUGUUACCACUUAUUUCAGUACUUGCAGAGAAUACCUUGCUGGAAACCGCUUAUCAUUUCCUUCUGCUCCUCGUUGGGUUCGACACUCUUACUUAUCGAAAGGACUACGAUAGAUCCCCUAUACUUGUGGGUCAUCACUGCGCCAGUGGCUGCUUCACCACCUUGUACACGUCUUUAAAAGGGGUAAUUAAACUUGUUAAUUACAAGCAUGUACUCAAGUUUGGACUAUCAUGUUCUACAGGAGAACCGAAUAUGCUUGAGGAAGCUCUUGGUGAUGCAAGGUGGAAAAAUUCUAUGGUUGAAGAAUACAUGGAACUUAAGAGAAAUAAGACUUGGCAUAUCGUUUCCCCACAGCAAGAUAAAGACUUGAUUGACUGCAAAUGGGUAUUCAGAAUCAAGAGAAAAUCUGAUGGAACUAUAGAUAGGUACAAAGCUAGACUUGUUGCAAAAGGCUUUAAACAGCGUUAUGGCAUAGACUAUGAAGACACCUUCAGUCCGGUUGUAAAAGCUGCAACAAUUUGCCUUGUCUUGUCAAUUGUUGUUUCCUGGGGAUGGAGCCUUCAUCAUUUGGAUGUACAGAAUGCGUUCCUUCAUGGUGUUCUGGAACAAGAAAUUUACAUGAAACAACCUCCUGGGUUUGAGGAUAAGAAUGCACCAUAUCAUGUAUGCAGACUUGACAAAGCUUUAUAUGGGUUGAAACAAGCUCCUAGAGCGUGGUACUCCCGUCUCAGUCAGAAAUUGCAGGCUCUUGGUUUCGUUCCUUCCAAAUCUGACACCUCAUUGUUCAUUUACAAUAAGUCAAAUACAUCUAUAUUUGUGCUUAUUUAUGUUGAUGAUAUAAUUGUUACUAGCUCAUCCAAUGAGGCCAUACCAGCACUGCUAAAGGAUUUAAAUUCAGAGUUUUUUGCUCUCAAGGAUUUAGGAGACUUGCACUUCUUCCUAGGAAUUGAAGUAAAGAAACAUGAGGAUGGGCUUCAUCUUUCACAGGAAAAGUAUGCAACUGAUCUGGUAAGAAGAGUUGGGUCACAAGGAUGCAAACCGUCACUAACCCUUCUCUCUAGCACUGAAAAAUUGUCUCUCACAGAAGAAGAACUUUUAAGUCAAGAGGAUGGCACAAAAUACAGAAGUCUAGUAGGUGCUCUUCAGUACUUAACUCUCACUAGACCUGAUUUAUCUUUUGUUGUUAACAAGGUAUGCCAGUUUCUUCAUGCACCCACUACAGUUCAUUGGACUGCUGCAAAGCGCAUAGUGAGAUAUGUGAAACAUACUAUGAAUGUUGGUCUGAACUUCACCAAGUCAUCAUCCACACUAGUCAGGGCAUUUUCUGAUUCUGAUUGGGCAGGAUGUGUUGAUGACAGACGUUCUACUGGUGGGUUUGCUAUAUUUUUUGGACCUAACUUAAUAUCAUGGUGUGCAAAGAAACAGGCUACAGUCUCUAGAUCAAGCACAGAGGCAGAAUACAAGGUGUUCGCAAAUGCAACAGCAGAGAUUAUUUAGGUCCAAUCACUGAUGAGAGAACUUGGUGUUAGGAGCACUCAAACUCCAUGCUUAUGGUGUGACAAUCUUGGUGCCACAUACUUGUCUGCAAAUCUGGUUUUUCAUGCUAGAACAAAGCAUAUUGGGAUAGAUUUUCAUUUUGUCAGAGAGAGAGUUGCAAGCAGACAGUUGGAGAUUCAGUUUGUGCAUUCUCGAGAUCAAGUUGCAGAUGGGUUCACCAACGCAUUGCCUACAAAGAAUUUCAAAGAGUUUAAACGUAAUCUCAACUUGACGAAGUUGUGAUUAAGGGAGGAUGUUAAACACUGGAUAUUUGCACACGCAUAACUUGGUUAAGAGGAUCUUUAUAUCUAGGAGGUUAGCUAGUCUGUUAGAAUAGUUGUACGGUUUAACUUGUUGUAAUCCCGUAGCACAACUACCUGCGUCUUAUCUCCUCCUCUCUUGUUCUCCAAGUUGUACUCAACCGAUGUAUGCAUAUCUAGGGUUGGCCCCUGCUAUAUAAACACGCACCCGUCGCCUCUAACGAGGUAAGACGCUUCGAGCAUUCUUCACAGUGCUAAGUGUGUUCAUGAUAGUGUGCAUACUGAAAUUGGUUGUAACUGUAUAGUUACGAGGCAGUGACAUAACAGUAUAUGCAUGUACAGAUUUAGAGUACAUAUGGUCAUAGUAGAGUCUUGGGGACAAUUAUUCUCUUAGUACUAAUAAAUCAGGAGUUGGUUGUUUCUUCAACGGCGUGUCAUAAAUUAUAAUCUACAGCUCAUGUCUUCUGGGAUCAAACUUAGCUUUGAAUUUACAAGGGUAAAGACUUAUGUGGGAAGUACAAACCGUGUCCGGUUUUAACUAGCAUAAAAUUCCCCCUGCAUUACUUCAACGAUUCUUAACAAAGGUUGUUACCCUCGAUUGAACUUGUUGAACUUGUUUGUAAACCUUGGGGAUUGAUAGCAUCCUGGCAUCGAUCAGCACGAGUUGCUCAACUGAACUAAAAUUCCAGAGUGACUUGUGAGCAACAGCAGCAGCAGCAGCAGAGCAGAGCUACUCUCUGUGAUCGAAGCUACCAAACAAGAUCAAGAUUGUAUGGCUUGAAUUAGUAAAUCAGAUUCUCCCAACCCAAAGUAAUAAGAUCCAUAUGGUUCUUAAUUUCCUUGUGAAGAAUCAUCAGGUUAUUUCUUUCAUGGAAAAUGGAAACUUCUCCGAGGGCAGACAUGACAGAGAAAGCAGAAAAAAACACGCAAGGAUAAACUGAAGUAAUGCAAGUGGAUCAUGCUCUAGUAGUUACGGAGUUGCAAAUUAUAUAAAUUUUGCUAUAUGGCCAUUGAAUGAUCACUAAGAUUUCAAAUUGUCCAGUGCAAUUUGCUCUGAACAAGAUGGAUAUAUAAGAGGCUAAGAAGCUGGAUUUUCAUUCAUCGCACACCCUCGUAAUACAGUACCAAUUAGAUGGUCAAAGCAACAUAUUUUCUUGAGAAGAAGAAAAGAGGCGCAAAUUUACAAAUUGCAGCCUACUGACAAAAUGAAGUGCGCAGCACCUUGAUGCUGAAAAAAAAAACUUUUGAGCAAUGAUGGUAGACAUGGUAAAAAAAACAUUUUUUAGCAAUGCUGAAUGGACUACCCACCCUAAACAAAUGGGCCUUCUUACACCUGGGAAAGAAAUGCCACUGGGCCAAGUAGAAGCGCCGUGGGCCCACAGCCCGUCCCACGGCCCUCGUCCAUUCGCACGCCGCACCUUUUCACCGCAGUCCUCACUCUCUCCUCAGAUUCAGAAGCAGCGGCAUCUCCGUCGCCGUCGCCGCCGCCGCCGCGCCUCCACGGAGCUCUGCCCUCGCCUGCACGCCUCUCCUCGAUCCCGGCCUCCGCCUGUCCCCGUGCACGCCCACGAGCCCCUGCCCUGCACUGCGCCUCCCGCCCCCGGGCCCGGUCCUUCCUAGGUAGGUAAGCACGCACCCACCCUGCAUCUCCGACGGUCGAAGGCUCACUAUGCUUUAUUAUGUGCGCGGGUGCCCUUCUGCUAGAUCCAUUUCAAUGUCCGCUAUAAUUGUUGAUAGCAUGAUGAGAGGAAACCAAUUUUCAGCUGUCCAUUGUCUGCUAUAUGCUGCUCGGUUCAGGGCAGGCUCGUGUGUUACAAUCGUUAGUGUCUGAGGCAGUAGCGCAGCAAUAUAUCCAUGUCCACAUUUUAGAUGUAUACUUGGUGAAAGUAGAGGCAGUGCCAUAGCAGUAUAUAUGCAACUACAGAUCUUAGAUCCAUGCUUGCUGAAAGUAGGGACAAUGGCAUAGCAGUAUAUGCUUGUGCGCAUCUUACAUUUAUUAUAGUUGGUGAAAGUAGAGGCAGUGCCAGGAAUUGUUUUCUCAGUGCACCCCGGAGAUUCUGAGCUGAAUGUCGCUUCGCAGUGGUGUGCCGUGCUUCCUAAUCUACGUAGUACCUACGGCUCAUGUCUUCUGAGAUCAGACUUUGCUUUGAAUUUACAUAAGACAUGCAAACCAUGUCUGAAUCUUCACUGGUUGUAAAUAUCAUUGUUCCAAAAUAUCGGCCAGUUAAUCGGCACCUCGGUCAGUUAAUCGCAACUCGGUUGGUCACCGAAUAACCGAUUAAUUGAUUUAUCGGACGAUUAACUGGAAAAUUCACCUAUUUAUCCCUACUCAGCACCCGACCGAUAUGGUACCAGUUACCAAUAUCCUGAAAUUGAAAUAUUAUGACCCUGCAUUACAUCACUAGCUCCUAACGCAUUUUGUUUUUCUGUCUGAUCCUGUUGUAAACAUUGGGGGUUCAUAGCAGCCUGCCUGAGUGUCUCAACUGAAUCAGAAUUUCACAAGUCUUUGUACCUGUUUCCCCUCUCCUCAUCUUACUUUAUACUGAUUCUUCUGCUGGGCCAGCUCCAGAAUGGGUCUCCUCAGCAUCAUCAGAAAAAUCAAGCGCAAGGAAAAGGAGAUGCGGAUUCUCAUGGUGUAAGCGUCCUGCUCCAUUCCUUUUUUGCCUUCUUAUUUUACCCCAGAUUCCUCCUAUCCAAACGGACUAUUAUUCUUGGUUCUUUGGUUGAUAUAUAUGCUUCUUGACUUUCAAGGUUUGUGCCAUUCAGUUCUUUGUUCUUCUUGAUUGAUUUAUUCCACGAUGUCAAAUUUUCAGUGGCCUGGACAACUCGGGUAAGACGACAAUUGUGCUCAAGAUAAAUGGGGAGGACACCAGUGUCAUCAGCCCUACUCUUGGCUUUAAUAUCAAAACCAUCCAAUACCAAAAGUAUGUACUAUAGUCAUUUUUCAUUUAUCAAGUUAAUUAUGCCAGAAAUCAAAAGGUUGUUCCAACUGAUGUUAUACUUGAUCAUUCCAACUCUGUAUUAUGUCUAGCAAAAUGCCAGUUGUAUUAACUAAAGGGUUCUGGGAAAUUCCAUUGUAACUUUUGGUUGAUCAUUCCAAUUUUAAGGUAUAUCUACAGAAUGGCACCUGUAUUAACUAAGGGCGUUCUAAGAGAUUUCAUUGUAAUUUUAGCACAUCCAUAACUAAUUAACUAUGCAUGUGCCACUAGAUAGUACUGCUUGCUAUGCUAGAUCAUGUCUCCUGACUGUUGCAAGUAUGCCAUAGAUUCUGUUAAGUCAAGGGCACCCUAGUCUUUGUAGUUGCAUAAGAUAAUUGGAGGAACAAUCUUGUAAUCUGAGCUUGUUGUUUGGAAGUUUAGUGAUUAAUCAAUACAAUUUCAACAGCUUUAGAUAAUCUGAUACAAAUUACUGCUUGGUGGAGAAAAUUGUUGUGUAGUCCUUCAGCUAAAAUUGACCGAAGGUUGUCCAGUAGUAUUCGAGCUGUGCAGCUAGGUUCUUGGGGAACAGCUAAGAGAGGGAGACGUCCAUAGAUAUGUUUGGGAAUGUUGCGAGUCAUAUUGCUCCACAACCACAAUCAUCAAAGUGUACUUUGGCGUCAAUGUUUUUAUGUGGGAAGAGCAGAGGACACUAUUAAAAUUCAACACUGAUGCAGCACAAUUUUAAUGACUUUUGGUGAUCUGAUCAGAAAAUUGACAAUUUUAGAGACAGAGUAGGACAACUGUGACACCAAAUGGCACAAUCAGAUGAUAUGAUGGUCCAUUUGAGUUUUUUUUUAGGUCCACGUUAGUCAGCAUCUGUUGUUUUUCAGCCAACUAUGAAGCAAGUUGUGCCUAGAUAGGUGGUUGUACUUUUAGCGUUUAAAGUAGGCAAUGCAAUUGAUGAUCUGCUUUAAUCUGAGAAACUAGUAAAUCAUAUUGGUGAAAAUACAACAUAUUUUGGCCCAAAUUUCAGUUAGCGUCUGUUGUUUUUCAGCCUACUAUGAAGCAAGUUGCGCCUACAUCGGUGGUUGUACUUUUAGCAGUCAAAGUAGGCAAUGCAAAUUCUAAUCCGCAUUAAUCUGAGAAACUAGUAAAUCACAUCGGUGAAAAUACUAGAUAUUUUGGCUAAAAAAUUACAGCUGCUUGAUCCCUGAUGCCCAUCACUCAGGAAUCAUGGUGUUCAAAAGCUCAAAAUGCAUUUAGUAGUCAUAGGGAACAGCAGAACAAAUUGCCAACAAAUUGAUAAUGUUGUGAUUGUGGCAGGUACUCGCUGAACAUAUGGGAUGUUGGGGGGCAGAAGACCAUCCGUUCAUACUGGAGGAACUACUUCGAGCAGACUGACGGUCUCGUUUGGGUGGUCGAUAGUUCCGAUGUUCGAAGGCUCGAUGAUUGCCGUGCGGAGCUCCAUAAUCUUCUGAAAGAAGAGGUAAACCGCCUAGUGAAUACCACUGAUCAUCCACUUUAGCGUAAUUCGUCUUGGUUUUUUUGCUUUGAAUAACUUCACUGAAAACUAGCAAAAGAUAAUGUUUGCUGUUUAGCAUCAGGAAACUCUUGGGACUACAAAUUUGGUUACCUAGCAUGUUUGUGCUUAAUUUAUGUGCUAUCUUGUUCAACUAUUGGAGUGAGCCUUCAAAUUUCUGUUGCAGAGACUGGCUGGAUCAUCGUUGUUAGUUUUCGCAAAUAAGCAAGACAUUCAGGGCGCUUUGAAGCCUGACGAAAUCGCCAAGGUAAAACACACUAGUCAAGCAGUAUGUAUAUGGACCCCCAUAUAUUGGUCUAUUAUCUUCGUACCUGGAGCCACAUGAUCAUCUUGUGAUCUUUGCUUUAAGGACAGUCAAAACGGAAAAUAAUCCUAGCAUAUACAUACAAGUUUGUGGUCUUUGCUUCAUGAUGAUUUUAAAAAAAACUAAUAAUUGGCAUGUUGUUUAGUGUUCUUCGAGUUUGAUGGUAACCGGGUGGAGUUUUUGGAUCCAGGUUCUGAAUCUUGAAGUGAUGAACAAGGACCGGCACUGGAAGAUCGUCGGCUGCAGCGCCUACACAGGCGACGGCCUGCUCCAGGGCUUCGACUGGCUGGUCCAGGACAUCGCCUCCCGCAUCUAUGUCCUCGACUGAAACAACAACCAAACUCUGGACAUUUAGCCAUCUGCACUACUGUUAUUGGUUACACCGGCUACCUCAUGUAAUCCGAUCAAGUUUGAACCAAACCAUAGAUGAUGAAACUUUUGUUAUGCACUCUCAUUGAGCUCUGCGUACUGCAAUCGUCAGUUGGUGCGAUCUGUUGCUUAAACAGAAGGUGGAUGAGAUGCACAUCGCAAUGUCUAAAUUUUAUAUUACUCACUGAAAUGGCAGCAAGCUUGGUGCGAUCUGUUGCUUAAACAGAAGGUGGAUGCUUCAGAACAUUUCACUAGAUCUACAAUAUGCUUGCUUGAAGAAAAAGAUAAUGGAUGCUUCAUAACGAAAGAGAGAAAAGAAUAAAAGCAUCAGGACACAUAGGAGGAUAUUUCGCAGCUAUCACUUGCAUUUUCUUCAUCCAUUUAAACUGACUUCAAACAUAGGAUUCCAACAUCACAUCCCAAUCCAUGACAGAAGGGAUUGCUGCAUCACCGACGAACACGACCGACUGAAAGAUAACACAUGUUGUUUCUUCCUCGCGUAACCAGCUCUAAUUAACCCCGGACAGAGCGACACUCGAGCUCGCGAUCAAAAACACCACAGGACCGAACGACACACACGACUCAAGACUGACUGACACAGGAACACGACGACGACGACACUGAAGAUAACUUGCUGACGAAGACGACGAGAUGGUAGAUAGAUCGAUAACUGGAGGGCCCCGCCGCUCAGUUCCUCCACUGGCCGCCGGAGUCGCCGCCGCGCUGGCCGCCGUAGCCGCCACCGCCGCCGCCGUAGCCACCGCCGUAGCCGCCGCCACCACGCUGGCCGCCGUAGCCACCGCCGCCCUGGCCGUAGCCGCCACCGCCGCCCUGGCCGUAGCCGCCGCCGCCCUGGCCGCCGUAGCCGCCACCGCCGCCGCCGUAGCCUCCGCCACCGCCGCGCUGGCCGCCGUAGCCGCCGCCGCCGCCCCCACCGCCGGAGCGGCGGGACUGGGCCUCGUUGACGGUGAUGUUGCGCCCGUCGAGCUCCUUGCCGUUCAUCUCCUCGAUGGCCUGGCGCAUCGACUCCUCGCUGCCGAACGUGACGAAGCCGAACCCACGGGACCUCCCCGUCUCGCGGUCGUUGAUGAUCUGCACGCACGCACAAAACACAAACACCACACCAGAUCCGGUCAGAUCCGCCACACAAACCCCAGAUCGGGUCAGAUCUACAGCCCACGACGCGAAAUUCGAACGGAUCGGCGCAGAUCGGAGACAGGGGUUGGUCGGUCGGUUACCUUGGCGUCGAGGAUCUCGCCGUACUGGCUGAAGGCCUGCUGGAGGUUGUUGUCGUCGGUGGCCCAGGCGAGGCCGCCCACGAAGCAGCGGUACUCCGUCUCCGCCAUGGAUCUCACUUCCUCUCUACCGAAACCCUAGACUAGGCUAGCUACUCGGCCUCUCUCUCGAACCGAACCCGAACCGAACCAGAACCCGAACCGGAAGGGGAGGAGAAGCCAACCCCGA